UCAUACUCUAUUUGCAGCUAGCCAAAUGCUAAAUUAGAAUCACACUGAAAGGGAGUACGUAGUAGAUAUUGAAGUUUCUUAGAAGUGCUAAACCAAAUGGUAUAGAAUGCUUCAAACUGAAAAGACUCCUUUUAUAGAAAUGGGUUGAUUCACCUUUUGAUCCACUACUGUCAUGAAACAAACUGAGAUCAACGCAAUCAAGCUAAAUCAGCACAAAAUAGACAUGAUAUCACAUAUAUUUUAUUAAUUUAGGCAAAAUAAAAUGUGAAACUUUUAUUUUCCAUGCAUUGCAAUUGAAGAUGGAAGCAUUUCACAUGGACUAAAGAAAAAUGCUACAUACAAUUAAUUGAGCACCAGCAAAAGAAAAGAGUCCAGCACCGGAAGCAGUUCCAUCAUUUUGCAUCAACAUUGUAUCACUCCUUUUUCUCUUCCUUGGAAUCCUCUACCUUGGCUUCCUUUGCCUUUGGUUUUCCCUGCUUGGGCUUCAUGAAGCAGAAACAUGAGCAACAAGGACACUGGAACAAGAACUUCAUUGCUUAUGCCUGCUUUCACUUCUAAAAAUGUACCCAAAACCUUAUAUCUAGCAGAAGUGUUAGCUUUCCCUAUGCCUUUUUAUCUUCUUUUUUCUUCCUUUUCUUAUUUUAUUUUAUUUUUUUUUGGGUUACUGCCUCUUUAUCUUCUUUCUCAUCUAAUAAUGUUGUUUCAUUUUUUCAGAAUUUUUAAUUAUCCAUAGGAUUCCAAUUCAAUCGCUUUCAAUAAAGAAGAUGCUAGCCUAACAAUGCCAGCUCUAGAAUGAGAAGUGGUGGGGCUGCCCAUGAGAAACAAAAAAAUUAAUGCUUCUAAUCAGGCUUCUCUUUGUGGGUCAUGUUUCACCGCUAGUUUAGAAAUUUAGAGGCUCCUUUUUUAUUUCUUUGUCUCACCCUAAAAUAUGAUUCCCAAGCUGGCAAGCAAUACUUAGCAGAAAUAAAUUUUAAAUUACCAUCUGGAGCCAUCACACUUUUUCUGAACUACCCGAAGACUUUUUAAGCCAUCUGAUUGAAAUCUUGAUAUUUAUGUCAAAUGGGUGCAUUCAUUCAUGAUAAGCUUAUUGACCAAUUAGUAAGUAAUCAAGCUUGGCUUCAAUUUUUCUUUCUUUAUUUUUUUUUCUUGGAAAAGCAAGAAGCAUAUUCUACACCAAUCAUGAUGGUUUUCAUGAAUUGGUAGAAAUCGCUUUUAUAUACCUAUCAUUUGACUUUGCUUUGAAAGUUCACAAAAAGGAAAUAAUGAAGGCAUGUGAAUUUCAAUCUAUUAUGCGACUUUCAGGGUUGCUUUUGCCGGUAAAAGAAAAGAAUAUUUAUGAACAGCACUGGCGUCCAAUUAUUUUUAUGCUCUGACCCAUAUCCAACAGGCCUCUGAUCAUCUUACGAUUUCAGCUCUGAAACUUCCCUUGUGAUCUUCAAGGCGCUCAUACAGGUACAAUUACAUUACCCUUUUAAUCCAAAAUCAUUAUAUACGGUUAAAGGCAUCUAAUAAAUUUUGAGAUAUAAUAGAAAGAAGAUGAGAGAAGGACAAGAUAUGGUGUUUCUGUUAUCAUUUAGUUCCAAGUAUUGCAACUCACAUGCCAUGCAGAUGAAAUGGGGAAAAAUGAUCUAUGUGAGUUAACGUUAAUCCCAGCUUGUUAAUCAAGAAUUAACCUAAGAUACAGGAGCAAUAUUGCAAAAGUAUCUGUUGGUCUUUGGGAGGAGAGAUUUGAGACUGAAUUGUUUUAUCAUUUUAUUUAUUGAAGUAUGAAUAUAUUGAUAAGAAUAUGAUAGAAAAUCUAAACAAAAUAUAAAUCUUAAGAACUAUAUUUACCAAAUCAAAUCUACAUAAAUUCAUAAAUAAUCUGAAUUCUAACAGAAAACCUAAAAAUAUUAUUCUAUCUUUAACUAUUAAUUUAUUUUCUUAAAACUUCUUUAACAUAUAUAUUUUUUUGUAACGGUAAAAUAUGCAUGAUUCAACAAAUUCUGCAGAGUUUACUUGAAGCACAUUCCUCUUCUUUUUGGGGACCUUGAACACUUCCUAUAGAACUUAUUCUCGAUUUACAAGUAUUUUAUGUGCAAAGCAAUGCAUUAUUUGCAAAAUACUAUACCAUAAUUGAUUCAAACCCAUGCCAGUGGCUCCACUGUCCCUCAAGCUUCUGCAAGCUUUUAAGGACCCAUUGGAUGGUUUGUUCUCUCUGUAUCAAGGUUCUGCUUUGUUGCCACUCUUUGCAACUUGAAACAGAGCAUUACAAUUACUUAAACAUAAGGAAAAAUGAAAAGAUGUAUUUGCUAAUUGCAGCUUAAGACACAGGGAAACAGAGAUUGUAGCACCGCCUGUAUAUAAUAUAAACAUAUAUUCCGAGAACACUUGUAAUAAUCAUUUGAAUACCGAAUAUGUUUCACAUUUUUUGACAUAUUUAGUCUUAAUUUGUUCAAAUCAACACAUAAGCAUGAUUAAAAGGAAAGAGAAACUCCAGUCCUGUCUUGAGACUUACGCAAAUGUCGGUGUUGGAGACAACUGGGUAAUUUAUGCAAUUAUUACAUAACUUAUCAGUUGCAGAUGCAAGAUGAAUUAUGAAGAUAGAACUUGUAGUAGAAGCCAAAACGGCAGAACUUUAAACAAUCUUAUCAAGUUGAAGAAACAGCUUUUUCUUCACAUUUUCAGAUUCCACAAUAGCUUCAAUUACAAAAAUCUGCCUAUGCACGUCCAGAGCAUCCUCCAAAGUUACUUGUCAGGUUGGGAAAAAAGGAAUCUUUUAAAGCUCAUGCUCGUGAAUUUACAAGAAAACAAGAUUUAAUUCGUCAACACUUUAUUCUCGCAAUCGCCAGUUAGUCUGAAGGAAAUGAAUUCAAUCCCUUCAUUCCUAUCAACAGAAACGAUUCCUGUGGGAGGGAAACUUUCCUCAUUGGUCAUAAACGACAGGGAAAUUUUUUCCCGUCAAUUUGCUCCCAGUGAAAAAAUUGACAAUUGUAGAGCAUACAUAGCUAUUGAAAGCCUCAGAUUGCUAUCUAUCUGCAAAUCAAAGCUUGCCGGUAGGGCCCGUCGCUGCAAAUUUACCGGUAAAGAACGACUCUUGAGGGUACUGCGCAGGCAAGAUUGUAUCACUUUGUUCUUGGAUGAUCUUCCAUAUGAAGUUGUCAGCUCUAGAAAGAACCGUGCUGCAUCUUCUACUCCCACGUUUUGCUUUGAUGCCUUGAGUUCUUCUUCACAUGCUAAUGGAGACAUCACUGUGGAUGCUCAUAUUAUUUAUUGAACAUUUUUGUAUAUAUAAGCUUCCUGAAUUAUGUGAAGCUGCUUAACAGUUUGUUCAAUUUUUUUCCCCAGUUUAUGCAUUUUCAUCUAUCUCAUCUGAGAAACAUAUCUAUACAACUGCAUCCCUCAUAACGUGAUUGCUGAUGUUCUUGCAUAAAAUAGUUUGCAAGUUCAGUUAAAGACAUCAAAAUAACUUCUUUUCUAAAAUCUUCAAACAACUUUGCCAUUUCAUCUGUGGUUUUCCUUCCUUAAGUAGAAAACCAAGUCCAAAAUUAGAAAUGGAGUGGCAGGAAGGCUUUUAAGUGCUUCAUAUGAAAAGGGUAUUGCACAAAUUUGUUCUAGUGAAUUGAAGCUUUUAGCUAUGGAAGGAUAUUUUGGAGACGGUAUCACAGUUUGUGCAGUUGCCAAUCUAAAGACUCGUUUAGUUGUUUUCUGUUCUUGAUCAAUAUUGACUAAUAGUAAAGGAAUCUCAUGACACUGAACCACGUUCAGAAGGAGAGCUGACCAAUUUGUUGAUCCACACUCCUCAGGAGAUAGCUAUCACUUCUUCAGAGACUGCUUCACUAGUAAAGGAAUACUACCAAAAUAUCAAAAACUUUGCACAUAUGAUAGUAAUGGCCGACUGAGUUUACAAGAAUACUAAGGUAGAAAACACUAAAAUUAUAGCUAAAAAUUGACACUUAUUUCCAUGUAUUUCAAUUACAAAGCAUUCCAUUAUUGGCAAAGUUCUAUAGUAUAAUUUCAAAGCCUCAUUCAGGUGCUUUACAGGGGAGAAACAGAAAAUGGAGCACCACCCAUAAAAAUUUAACGAUAAUUUCGGUCACCUCUCUGCAAGACCUUGGUUGCAUAAAUUUCAUUUGAUGAGUCCACACCACCCACAGUCCCAAACAAAUAAACAUAAAAUUGAAAUUAGAAGAGGGAAAAAAAUCAUGCAUAUGAAUAUGAUGAUGCAAUUUUUAAUGAAAACUCAAGUAAAACUGUGGUGAAGGCCCUGAACAGAAGGCUAUUUUAAAUGCUGAUGCUCUAGGCUCUAGCCCAAUAAGAAAAUACAUAGGCCUGACUGCCAAUUUCAAACUCUCUGAUAAAACUCGGUCCAUUGAACAUUUUAGAGCAAAAAUGUGGAAUUUCAAUUUUUUUUAAAAAAAAAAAUAAAAUCAUGAUACUAUUUGAAUUUUACCAUUUCUCUUCAAAUAUUAGCUAAAUAUAAUCCAACCCUAAUUUAAAAAUUUGGACUAACAUGGUUUGAUUUUGAUUAUCAAUAAAAUCAUAAUUUACAAAUUAAUAUAUCAUCAAUUCUUAUGCAAUAAAAAAUAUAAUUGCAAAAAUUAGAAAUUAGAAAAUGCCAAAUAAAUUGAACCAAACUAAAAAAACAAAAGUGAUGAUUUAAUUGAUAGCAAUAAAAAACGAAAGUAAAAAAGUGGGAAUGAUUGAAGUUGAAAGGGUGCACAAAGUCAUGAGUGAAGGUAUGAAAUGAAAAUAUAAUGGCUUCUGCAAGCUUAUAUAAGAAGCUAAUAUUAUUAGCAAUGAGUAAUGAUUUUGGACAAAAAGCAUUUUCCCAAAAAAGGAAUUUCCACCACCUCCCAAAUUACCAUUAUUUUUUUUUUUAUUUUACCUUAGGUGGGUUUCAUCAUGCUUUGUUGCUUUGGGCUGGGUUGUAUUGCAAUACCUUACAUUAUAUAUUUUAAAAGCAAAUUAAUGUGGGAAAAUUUCUUUGAAUUUUUUUUUUAAAAGGAAAACUUGAAAAGAUAAGAAAAUUUGACAUAUUUUAAUUCUUUUAUUUGGAUAUAUGAAAAAGGGGAAAUGAAGAGUGAAUAUAAUUUUCAAAAAAGAUAUUUCCUUCCCUUUGUAUUUAUUUAUAAACAAAGCACGAGGAUGAGGAGCGAGGAGAAGUGGGUUUGGUGGGUUCACAUGAAAGAAGGCUGAGGUGAGAGUAGUUGACCCGACAACCACAAUCUUUUGAUGAGCCUCCUUCAUUCAUAUCUCAGUCCAGCCGCAGAUCCCCGUGACGUCCGCUCACCCAACCGGCUAUUACCGGUCAAUUCUCUCACUCGCUUUGACUUCCUUCUUUUUACCUUUUCUCCACACCCGCAAUUAUAACGCGUGCUUAACACAUUCAUGCUAUCCUUCAUUUCUACUAGCCGCACCUUUGAAUUAAAAGAAAAUACAACAGAAGAGAAAUAAAAGUAAUGAAAACAUACAUUUUAGUUUAUUUGGUUAAACCGAUUAAUAAUAAAAAAUCUCUUUAAUUUAAAAAAAAACUAAUAAAAAAAAUAAAAAUUUAAUUGAUUAAUAGGGAUCAGAGAUGGAGCAAGAAGGUGUACAUCACGCGCAUGGUUGAAGCGUAAGAAAAAGAGUUGCAUCUUGGGAUUUCCUAGCUAGUCGAUCCCAAAGUUUGGCGAAACUAAAAAACAUGAGCAAAAAUGAAAACUGAGGACACCAAAAUAUAUUUGUUUUUCUAGAGAGAGAGUGAGUAGAGACAAAUGUAGGUGUAUAUUGACAAUGGGAGUGUGACUGAUUUAUGAGAAGAGAUGAACAAGCAAAAUACCCAAAAGCAACUAAUAUGUCCAAAAAAGUCAGCUCUCUCUCUCUCUCUCUCUUGUGUCCACAUUUCAUUUCAAAUCACUACACCCCCUCGAUCCCUAUUUCAAUUUUUUGUCCAAAUAAAUAUUAGAUUCUUUAUGAAAUAGAGGGAACUUUCCUUUUUCACAGCCUUCUUGUCUCUAUUCUCUUUCUCUCUCUCCUUUGAAAUCUUUUUCUUUUACUUAGAUUCUGCCAUUUAUUUCUUCCUCUCCUUUUUUUUUUUCCUUUGUUUAAAAUAUUUUGAGAGAGAGAGAGAGAGAGACGUCUAGUUUUGAAGUUGGGGUUAGCCUAUUUGUGGGAAGGUGGUGCUCACUAUGGGUGUUGGGUUCACAGGAGGCUUUAACUUGCCUUACAAGUGAUGUUUUUAAUGCUCAUUUUAGCUUUUUUUGAGAUUUCAUGUGUCUAGUUACUGGUAAAGUUUCUUUCUUUCUUCCUUCAACUUAUCUAGUCUUGUGGUAGUUUUUCUAUGCCAUAAAUAUGAAAACGUUAAUCUUGGGAUCUGGCUGCAGUUUUUAAGUAAGAAUUGCUGCUUAAAUAGCUAACCAGUGCCUUUUUUGGGUUUUCUAGGUGCUUUGGGAUGUGUGUCUUGAGUUUCUUCACUUAGGUAGGGUGACUUUCUUGUACAAGGGAGUUGAUGGUUGUGGCUGUACAACAAUAUAGGGUUUAGGGGUUUGUAAUUUUUUGAUUUUAGUCAAGGGAUUUGGUUGCAGGUGGGGACUAAAGAUCUCAGUGUGCUUUACUGGACUCACUCAUUUAUUUUAUUUGAAAGAUCGCUAUUAUUGCUUCACUUUCAAGUUGCUGUUUUGUCUUCUGAUAUCUGACGAAUUUUGUGCUUCAAGUUUCAUUCUUUGAGCUUUCCUUCUCCUCUUACAAAAUCAAUUGGGAGUUCUGAGUCUCAUUCUUUAGUGUUCUUGAGAUUUGAUUUCUGGUGGGGAUUGGUGCUCUAUUAAAUUUUACUUCUUUUGGUUGCUUCAUUUGCAAUUUGCAGCUUCCAAGUUGCGUUUCCUUCUUCUCCUUUUGGGAUGUCAAAGAACUUGUUUUUUCAUUUGGAUUUCUUCUUGAAAAGUAGUGCCUUCCCCAAAACAUACCAGCUUCAAUUGAGGGGUUUUGGCUUCGUCUGAGCUGGGGGUAGGUUUUUGUUUCGGUAAUGAUGGUGCUGGACAUUGCUCUGGUGACUUUCCUCAAAUGGGUAGUCUUCGCUUGUUUUCUUUGUUCAUCUUUGGGUCUCAAAAGCUCAUCCCAAUCCUGUGAUCCUCGUGAUUAUUUGGCGCUGAAAGAAUUUUCCGGAAGCCUCACAAAUGGGUCCAUUGUUGCAGCCUGGUCCAACGAAGCUAAUUGCUGCCAAUGGGAUGGUGUUGUAUGCCGAAAUAAUGGCAAUGGUUCGGCUGGUAAUAGAGUGAUAAAGCUAAUUCUGCCGAGAAAGGACCUCGAAGGGAUAAUAUCGCAGUCUUUGGGCCGUUUGGAUAAGCUGAAAGUACUUGAUCUCUCUUGCAAUCAUCUCCAAGGUGAAUUGCCUAUGGAGUUCUCAAGCUUGAAGCAGCUGGAGGUUGUCGAUCUGAGCCAUAAUAUGCUGUCAGGACGGGUUUUUGGGAUGCUUUCUGGUUUGUUGUCUAUUCAGUCGCUGAAUAUGUCUAGCAAUCUGUUCAAAGAGGAUUUGUCUGAACUUGGGGGAUUUCCAAAUCUUGUUGUAUUCAACAUGAGCAACAAUUCAUUCACUGGCCGAAUCCCUCCUCAAAUUUGCAGCUCCUCCAGUGGGAUUCGGAUUCUUGAUUUGUCAAUGAACCAUCUUGUUGGCAAUCUUGAAGGCUUAGACAAUUGCAGCACAUCUCUCCAGCAAUUGCAUUUGGAUUCCAAUUCACUUUCAGGCUCUCUCCCGGAUUCUCUGUUCUCGUUGUCUGCUCUGCAGCAAUUCUCAAUCUCCAACAACAAUUUUUCCGGCCAGUUAAGCAAUGAAUUGAGUAAGCUUUCUAGCCUUAAAACCUUGGUUAUUUAUGGAAACCGGUUUUCGGGCUAUAUUCCAAACGUGUUUGGUAAUCUUACACAGCUAGAACAACUUGUUGCACAUUCAAAUUUGUUUUCCGGGCCAUUACCAUCAACACUGGCAUCAUGCUCAGAGCUUUGCAUACUUAACCUGAGAAAUAAUUCUUUAACUGGCCCAAUUGAUCUUAAUUUCACUGGAAUGCCUAACCUUGGUGCACUUGAUCUUGCCACUAAUCAUUUGUUUGGCCCCCUUCCAAAUUCCCUAUCUGAUUGCCAAAAACUAAAAGUUUUGAGUCUGGCUAAGAAUGAGUUAACUGGUCCUAUCCCCAAGAGUUUUGCAAAGCUCUCAUCCCUGUUGGUUCUCACUUUAUCAAACAAUAGUUUUAUGGGCCUAUCUGGGGCAUUAUCUGCACUGCAGCAGUGCAAAAAUCUCACCACUCUUAUCCUCUCAAAGAAUUUCAUUGGUGAAGAAAUUCCCAGAAAUGUGAGUGGUUUUGAGAAUCUAAUGGUAUUAUCACUUGGAAAUUGUGCUCUCAAAGGCCAAAUUCCAGCUUGGUUGUUAAGUUGCAGGAAGUUACAAGUUCUUGAUUUGUCAUGGAAUCAAUUGGAUGGCAGUAUCCCUCUUUGGAUUGGUCUAAUGGAGAAUUUGUUUUACUUAGACUUCUCAAAUAACUCUCUCUCUGGAGAGAUCCCAAAGAGUUUGACUGAGCUAAAGAGCCUCAUUACCCUGCAUUGCAGUAUAUCCAAUGCUUCCGCUGGCGUUCCACUGUUUGUCAAGAGAAAUAGGAGUGCUAGUGGUUUGCAGUACAACCAACCCACAAGUUUUCCUCCCUCACUAUAUCUGAGCAACAACAAAAUAAAUGGGACAAUUUUGCCUGAAAUUGGAAAGUUGAAACAGCUCCAUGUCUUAGAUUUGAGCUGGAAUAGUAUAACUGGGACCAUACCUAGCUCCAUUUCUGAAAUGGAGAACCUAGAAACUUUAGAUUUGUCAUCCAAUGAUCUUUAUGGGUCAAUUCCCCCAUCAUUUGAGAAGUUGACUUUCUUGUCCAAGUUUAGUGUGGCUAAUAAUCACUUGAAGGGGCAAAUUCCAACCGGAGGGCAGUUCUCUAGCUUUCCGAGUUCAAGCUUUGAGGGCAAUUCAGGACUUUGUGGAGGAAUUGUUUCUCCUUGUAAUGUCAUUAGCAAUAUGUUGCAGCCUGGUAUUCCAUCUGGUUCAAACAGUAAAUUUGGUAAAGGAAACAUUGGAAACAUCCUGGGCAUAACAAUCACUAUUGGAGUGGGGCUCGCAUUGAUCCUUGCGAUUGUUUUGCUUAAGAUGUCAAAGAGGGAUGUGGGAGAUCCAAUUGAGGAUUUGGAUGAGGAAGUCAGCUGGCCACACCGGUUAUCUGAAGGCCUUGGAUCUUCCAAGUUGGUGCUUUUUCAGAAUUCAGAGUGCAAGGAUCUUACAGUUGCAGACUUGUUGAAGUCAACAAACAAUUUCAACCAAGCAAAUAUCAUUGGCUGUGGUGGAUUUGGCCUGGUUUACAAGGCCAACCUUCCCAACGGUACCAAAGCAGCAAUCAAGAGGCUUUCUGGGGACUGUGGUCAGAUGGAACGUGAAUUUCGUGCUGAAGUGGAAGCACUUUCAAGGGCUCAACACAAGAAUCUUGUUUCUCUUCAAGGUUAUUGCCGUCAUGGUAAUGACAGAUUAUUGAUUUAUUCGUACAUGGAGAAUGGAAGCUUGGAUUAUUGGCUACACGAGUGUGUUGAUGGAGCUUCAUUUCUUAAAUGGGAUGUGAGGCUCAAGGUAGCGCAAGGUGCAGCAUCUGGGUUAGCUUAUCUGCACAAAGUCUGUGAACCACAUAUAGUUCAUCGGGAUGUGAAAUCUAGCAACAUACUUUUAGAUGAAAAAUUUGAAGCUCAUUUGGCUGAUUUUGGCCUCUCAAGGCUGCUUCGACCGUAUGAUACUCAUGUUACGACGGAUUUGGUUGGCACUUUAGGCUAUAUUCCUCCUGAAUAUAGUCAGACAUUGACAGCAACCUGCAGGGGUGAUGUAUACAGUUUUGGUGUGGUUCUUCUUGAGCUCGUUACUCGUAGAAGGCCUGUGGAAGUUUGCAAAGGAAAAAACUGCAGGGAUUUGGUGUCUUGGGUGUUUCAGAUGAAGUCUGAAAAAAGGGAGGCAGAGAUUGUGGACUCAUCCAUGUGGGACAAAGAUAUUGAGAAGCAGCUGUUUGAAAUGCUUGAAAUUGCCUGCAGAUGCUUAGACCAAGAUCCGAGGCGGAGACCCCUCAUUGACGAGGUUGUUUCAUGGCUUGAUAGUAUUGGAAUUCAGGGUGCUUGAGACUGCAUUUUGUUAGUUCCUGGUCAUUAGCUUCAGUCGGAGGGAUGGUAUACCUGUAAAGCGAUUACUAUAAUUCCAAGUUAUUACAAGCAACUUUCUUUCUUUCCUCCAUAGAAACAAUCCUUAGUGCUGUCUGUAUAUUGACAAAAGAGCUGUGUAUAAAGAGGCUCUUUUGGCCCUUUUUAUUUUAUAUCAGCAAUAAGCAUCAUAAAAUAUGUUGAUUUUUGUAUAGCUUUUCUUUCUUUGUUCCCCCUUAACAUUACCUUGUGAAGAAUCAACUCCUUUCAAUCUGUUUCACAAUCAGUUUUUAUGAUUCUUGCUACUCCAUUUUCAGAUUCUGAAUUGUUUUCAUUUGUUGCUAAAGUUAAAUGCAACAGAGAAUUAAAGAAACAACGUAUCAAGACACUUGGAAUAUAAAUUGAACUUGCACAUUACUAUUUACUUCAGUUUGUGGAUGAAAUCACAGCAGCAGUGGUCGCCGAAAGCAUGAUUGGUUGAAAGAGAAGCUAAAUUAGUGUACCACAACCGAAAGAAGAAAAUAUGAUUUGGGUUGUUUUUUCUUUGUUUGGUGUGGGUUUGUUAUUUGAUAUUGAUAGCCAUCAGGCGAUAGAAGAUUGAGACAGGGUUGCCUUUAGGUUACCUUCUUUUUGACUUUUGUUGACAUAGAGAAACCCCAACUGCUGCAAAAGGCAAACUACCAGCAUGGUGAUGUGAAACCCACAAAAAAAUCCAACCCUUUUUAAUAGAGACAUUUACAGGACAUUGUAUAUACAGUGCAUGCAAGAAGAAAAAUCAUCCUCUGUUGAUGAACUAAAACAUUUUGGAUUCCUUUUUAAUUUUCUUGGAGGAAUGGUUGAAAAUGAAAACAGUUGAUUGGAUCAAAAUAAAUAAUGGAGGGUUGUUUGGGGUUUGGUAUACAUCCUUUUCUUUUUUAACCUUUUGUGAAAAAUUUUCUGCUACCUCGAGCUUGAAGCUCCGCAAUUCUCUCUCAAUUUUCAUUUCAAUGUGUCUUCUACAGAAGAAGGAACUACUGAAAAUGAGCAGUAAAUCAAAGACCCAAAAAAACAUAGAUAAGAAAAAUUCAACAUUUUCGCCAUUUAGUAUUUAAAUAAAAAAUACUUAAAUUUUGAAUGUAUUAUCUAAUAUUUAUAUUAAAUGUAAUUUCGAGUCAAAAUUUAAAAUCAACAUCUAAAAUUUAAUUUUUAUACCCAUGAUACUAUAUGAAAUAUCUACUAAUUAGAUAUAUUAUGUUUCACAAGUUUUCCUCUGUGAGAAACUUGUGAUCCCCUUUGUGACUCGAUACUCUCGCUUUUUCCUCUUCCUUAAACCUAACUUCUUAUUUUCCCGAUCAACGUUAAUUAAUUAUCGAUAAAAAAAAAAUAUUGUUAUCACUAUUAAGAGUUUCGAAAAUAUUCUGAUUGUCACUUAUAAUUUCUGUAUAGUGGGUAUAUUUCUCACAUACAAUCCAAUCAAUUUUCAGAAUAUGCAGACCUAUUUGACAGAUUUAUAGUGGCAAUUCUCAGACAGUUAUUGUAUAGAAAGAUUUGAUUCCUAGUUACAAGCCCGACAUAUGAAAACAAAAACUCUUAAUUGUCGUAUAAAAUUUUUUUCAUAAUUUUUUAUAUUUUGAUGGUUGUUUCUCAGUCAAUAAGCAAGGAUUGAGAGGAGGUCUUUUGUUAAUGUGGAAAAGUUAUGGAUUUAUUUCUGUAAUUGGCUUUUUUUCAAAUUCUAUUGAUCGGGUUGUUUCGGAAUGUAAUUUUCAAUGGAGAUUUACUAGUUAUUAUGGAUUUUCGGAAUCGCAACGACGACGUCAGUUUUGGAACCUUAUUCGAGAUAUAUCUCGUAGAAAUUCUUUUCCGUGACUUUGUUCGGGAGAUUUUAAUAAUUUAUGUUCGAGAGGUGAGAAAGAAGAGAAGUAUUUUUACCAAAUUAUUUUAUGCAGGGGUUUAAUCAGACACUUGAGUAUUUUUGUCAAAUUAUCUUAUGUAGGAAUUUGAUUUUGAAUGAUUAUAAAUAUUUGUUAGACUCUAGAACUGAUAUUUCUGUUAAAUGGAUUCGUCGUAAAGUUAUGAUAAUUGCUCAUAUUUUGGCUAGAGAAUUAAAUAUAAUUAUCUAUUUCUAUUUAUUUAAAAAAAUUUUAUUAAUAUAAUCAAUAGUUCUACGUUAAAAGAAAAAAGAUAUGUUAGACGUAGAAAAAUUGAAUUAAUUAUAACUAAUUUAAAAUUAAAAUAUAAAGCAGUAAAUAAAAUAAUUCUGUUGAGUUGUACUUAUCUUGUUUGCAUAUCCUAUACAAUGAGGCAUUGGUGGAGUUAUAUAUACUAGUACUAUAGUACAUGAAAAUCUUUGAGGUUUAAAUUUUUAAUUUGUUUUUUUUUACAUUAUGAUGUAAAAUAUUCAAUUACUGUAUUUUAUAUGAAAACUUAAAUAUUUAAUUAUAUUAUUCAAAUUCCACUUAAUUUUAGCUCACAGUCCUAUAGAAUCGAUUUAACGGCACUGAACCAAAAGCUCACCAGUUUACCUACAUUGUUUUAAUCGUAAGAAACUGAGAAAUGUUAAUUGCGUUGGAUGAUUAAGGAAUCACUAUACUCUGUUUAUUAGAAUCGGCCUACUGGCCAUUGGGCUUAGAAGCAGCCCACUAUUUCUCAAAGCUGGACCGUCAGGACCCAGACCAGCAUCUGCUGAACCCCAAAUCAACGUAGAAUGGAGGCUUUUGGAGUUUUGAGCACCAGAAAUUCUAUGAUAUUCGGCUCCACUUGGAAAAAAAAAAAAGAAAAAAGAAAUGCCUUAGCUCACCAAUAAAUGAACAUGGGUCAUAUUUAGCAUGCACCAAAUGUGCGAAAAAUUAUUCAGAAGAACGUGUCAAAUCCCAUCGAGAACUAAAAGGUGUCCAAUUCCCUUGGAAACGUGUCAAUUUAUCCAGAGUCGCACCGCUUGCUGCCUCUCGAACACUAGAUAUAUUAUCUGAACGUUGGCAAGGAGGAUUCUGCGCAGCUUGGAAGUCGAUCAAAGAAACGCAAUGACGGCAAUACUUUUGGCAAAGAGAAUCACCAUUACUGACGGCUUUAAAGCUUUACUUAAGCAUAAGCCUCCUUUUGUCUGCUUCUCCACUGCUUUUGAACGUGCCGAGGUACCCUUUCUUUUUCUGUUGCACUCUAGCAAGAUUAUUAUCAUCGCCUAAACUUGGAUCCCAGAUCUCAUCCUUAAUGAUUUGAUGAAUUUUUUGCCUUUUAGGGAAGCAAAGGAAUGACAGAGACCAGAGGAGAAGGAACUGGCCCAGAUGGGACACCAGGGACAUCUUCAGGUGCAGGAAAAGAUCCUGUGAGCCAAAGCAUGUACGAGGCGAAGCAACAAGCACUAGACAUGGACGAGAAAUCAACGACAGGAGCAGCUCAGUUCGUAGCUGAUACAGCCAAAGAAGGGGUGAGAAAAGCUACAGAAAUGGCAGAUGUAGUUGGAGAUACAGGUAAGAAGACCGUGGAUGGUGCUUGGGAAGCAAUGAAGCUAACGAGAAGAUCAUAGAGAGAGUAGUUGGUGAUAAUAGUAAUGGCAACCGAAAUAGCGAGGAAGACCCAAUAGUUGUGGAGGCUCAGAAGAUUGAUGGACCUAUUGAUACAGUGGAAUACAGGAACGUAGACAGGAAUUGAGUGGAAAGUGUAGACGUCUGUUGCUGCUCUUAUAUGUAAAAAUUAAUUGGCAACAAUUUUUGCUUUAGAAUUGCCUGAUCUAGCGUUUCAUAAUUUCGCAGAACUAAAAUCUCGCCGGUGUAUGUAUAUAUAUACAUAAUAAAUUUAAUUUUUGGCCAAGCUUCGGGAGCCCUUCAUGCCUUUUGUCUUAUUUUUCUGUCUUCGUGUCUGGUACCUUCGUUAGCCAGCCCCUCUAAACAACAAUGGAUGUCAGAGCCCUUGAAGGGAAGUGCAGUUGCAAUGUCGCGGACGAUUUCAUUGUUGAGAAUACUUGGAUAUGGAACGUACCUACUUGCUGUAAUCAAGUAUUGAACUAAACGAAUUUGGGCGGAACGUAAUUGAUAUUUUAAUUUAAACAUAAUUAUUUUUUUCACAAAUGUGUAACCACUUAGACUAAUAACUGCGAAAUCUGUACUUGCAAGAAACAGGCAAGUUAUUCUUGCACGAAGAUCGGAGCUACCACGAGGUUUACUAGUGUACCAGAGUUAAAUACAGGUAACCGGGACUUGGUUAUCAAACGAGAAAAACAAAGGAGGAAUCCAGAUAUCACAGAAAUUUUACAACUACGCAGGAAAUAUCAUCUGUGCUUUCCCUACUAAGUGCCUCUUCAGUAAGGCGUUUUGCUGCUGAACGAGCAUCCUUUAUGUUCUUUAUAGCAUCUGCUGCUUCUUGAUUCGACAUUACCUACCAUCAUUCCGAAAACAGAUUUUACUGAUUACUUUUUCCAAGAGAAAAUAAUAACAAAAACAGUUUUGAAAAGAACCAACCUUCCACAACCCAUCACUAGCUAAGAUAAUAAACUCUGUAUCAUCAUCAAUCAUUUCCUUGGCAACAUCCGGUUCUGAGCUGAGAUGUUCUUUCAAGCUCUUGUCACCAAAUGCCCUUGCCACUGCCAAUUGCCCAUCAACGCGCGGAACAUCCCCUGAAUUUUAUAAUCAAGUGGAACCCAUUUCUCAAUAUUCUGAUGUGCAUUGUGAGAACCAACUACUAAGAUCAAAGAGUUUUUACCUGGAAAGUUUGAGACAAAACCACCUCUGCGUUCAAUUUCCUCCCUUUCUACAUUGGGCUCAUGAUCAACCGACAGUUGUUUGGCCACACCAUUCUUGCAGAUAACAGCUCGAGAAUCACCAACAUUGGCUACUACCAGCAUCUGACCGUUGAUUAAUAUUGCCGUGACAGCAGUCGAACCCCCACUACCCAAAUCAGCUGCUUUGUCCAAAAUAGUAGUAUCUGUUAUGCGAUAUGCUCUCCUCAUGGCGUUUUCUGGCGCUGUCCAGAAAUCUGGCUACUUGCAGGAAAAAAAAAAAUUGAAAAGAAAAACAACAUAGGGGUUUAUUCCUCAAUUUUAGCUUUGCGAACUGCAUACUGAAACAAGAAGAAUAUAUGGAAAACAUAUUGACAAUCUAGAGAACUUGAAAAUGUAAACCCAAUUGCUGGAUGCAAGUAAAUACCCACUAGUCUAACUACCGCCAAUCAUCACAAACUUUGGAAGUUCUAAAGUGUUGUCAUUAAUUUGGAAGUUGUAAAGCAGCAAAAAAUGCAAAUUAAAAAUUCUACCUCUUUUAAGAUAGUGUCAAACAAAUUGGAUCGCAAGUAAUCGGGAAUAAUAUGGCUAAGAUGACCGUCAUAUAUUGCAAACAGACCAAGUUCAUUGUCAUCAACUUGCUUAAAUUGAGCAACAAUAUAAUCUUCCAUGGCAUGAUGUGAUUUUCCCUUCACUAAGUGGUAGCCAUGCGUUACAUGCUUUGAUUUCUUGCUCUUGCCCUUUCCAGAGUCUGCAGAAGAACCUAUUCCAACUUUUUCCUGCAAUAUGCAUAUUCAAACAUGUAAUUUCACAUAAACAGAAGAAACAAAAAACAAAAUUAACAAAAAAUACCUUCAUCUUGUGUAUGAUUUCCUUGCCAGCCAUUGCUCCGAAGAUGGAGCUAAGAAAUGGGAUGUGGGCAGGAAUGGUUAUGGAAGCAGAAAAUCACAGUGGCCAAGAAAGAAAGAAAGUAGGGAGACAAGUGUAAAGUCGAAAAGAUGAGGAUCACCCAACAGCUGACAACGAAGAAAGACAAACGCAUACACAUCAGCAAUGGGAGUUUUGUUUGUAGUAGCCAUCUGGCUCCGCUUUCUCUGCAUUUACCAAAAGGGGUCAUUGGAGCUCAGAUUCUCUACCCGCUAUUAUACAUAUCAUCCACUUCUUCUUCUUGAUUGACCAUUGAGUGAGCCUGUUUCCAGAUUUCAACUUUCACUGCUAAUUCAGGACUUUCACUAAUUUUGGUAAUUCUAACACCUUUCUGUGAAACUAGUACAAUCACAUUUCUCUUGAGAUAAAAGGAAGGAAAAAGAAACAACCACAACACAACAUAACACAAACUUUUUUGCUCUGUUUAGGUCACUUUCCAUUCCCAAAAUUUCAUGGAAUUUCACACACUGUAUAUAAUACUAUUUUUUUUUAUAUCAAAUAAUUUUCUUCCAAUAAUUUAUCUUCACAUAUUUUAAGCAUUAUGAUUAAGCAUAUUUCUAUAUUUUUGAAAAAUUUAUUACUUCAUCUCUAUCUAAAAUUUACUUAAUUAAAUUUCUCUAUUCUAUAAAAUAAAUUAAUCAUUCUAUUAAAAUCUCUAUUAAACGCUAUUAUUUAAUUCAAUAAUUUUAAUUAUUUAUAUUAUUUUAUUUUUAUAAUUUUAAAUAUUCACAUUUAACCAACACUACUAUAAUUUGACUAAUAAUUUAAAUAAAUAAAUAAAUCAUUUAAUUUUAUAAAAUAUAAAAACAUUUUAAUUUUAAAAUUUUAAAAAAAUUAAUGAAUUUUUUAAAUACUUAGGCAGCAUUCCUCUCAAUAUUUUAUCACAUUAUGGGAGUUAUUUGAAAAGAAAAGCCAAUUGGCAAUGUAUUAAAACAUUUUUUUUUUCCUUAAGAAACUCAAAUAUCGUGAUUCUUUUUUUCCUUUUUUCCAAGGAAAAUCUUAAUUAAAAAAAAAACCUUUUCCGCGAAACAGCAAUUUUUCAAGUGGGAUGCGUACGGGUCCAGGCGAUUUGGGCUAAUAAAACCAGUCGACUGUCAGGUACCAAAUUUACCUUCCUCGAUGUCAUGCUAGUAGAGACAACUGCCAACAAAUUUUAGCGUCAGAAACAAAAAUAAAUUAGAAUUAAAAGGAAUUAUCCAAUUUAAGAAUACCAGAAUUCAUGCUUCAGAUUGCAUUGAUGCUUCUCCAUUUCUCAGGACUUCUAAACUUAUUAUUUCAACCUUUGCAACUUACCUUCCGUUUGACCUAAUUCAUUUAAAAAAAAAUAAAUUCAUUCUUAUAAAAUCAUAUAUAAUUUUUAUAAAUUAAAAAAAUUGAGUUUUUAGAAAAAAUUGAAUUACAUCGCCAUAUAUUAGCCGAAUAAUUAAAAAAGGAGUAGAACAAAAUUGAUAAACAAAAUUCUAAAUGAAUUUACAUUUGAAAGUGAAUCUAUUUGCCUCAGUAACCAUUAGCCUUCUCGAUAAAACUUCUCUCCCAUUCAAAGACAUUAGAAUUUCCUAUAACUUGAAAUGAUAGAACUUCUGAAUCUAAUGGUUUCUUCCCAAGAAUAUUUGAGAUUAUCACCAUCAGAGAUUGAGAAGCAACAUACUCAUCCAUCUUCUCUGUAUCAGUCAUUUCUAACGUACGAUCCCUCCAAGGUUGGUAGAAUGACCUGCAUAAAUAACAUGGAGGAGCUAUUUAGUUUACUGCAACACCAAAAUAUCAGACCUAUUUUGUUCGUCUGACCAUUUUUUUCAUUACAUUCUGGAAUUGCAACAUCUUUUCUGUGUACAAUAUUACAAGGAAGCUCUCGCAAGAAGUAAACUUCUGACUCAGUUUAUCAGUUUUCACCACAAACAUAUUUAUCAGAAUUUGAGAAAUCAUUUAAGCUUGGAGUUUUCCGUGCUACAUGAGAAAAUAUUAGCAGUCUGAUUCACAAAGGAAAAACACAUGAUUCGGAUAAAAUUGCGCAUUCAUUCUCCUCGUUCGAAAUUCCCAACUAAAAAUCUAACUAUAUAUUUACUUCAGUUUAACUUGCAAUACAAUGUUGGUUAAUGAGUCCGCAUCCACCUAUGCAAAAAUAAUCAAUCUCAUACUAGGGGGUCAUUUACUUAUGCAAAAGAGAUCAACCUUAUAAGCAAGGGAGGGGGAAGCGCUGCAAGGAAAAAUAUAUUACCAUCUCCAUUCAGGAUUGGCUUCAGUAGGGCAACGAACUUUUGACAACAAUGAUACCAUAGCAGUUCCGUUGUCAUGCACGAAAUCUGAUCCAGAUUCAACAUAAUCAAUAUAUAGAUGAAUGUUGAUAAAAAAUUAAUUAUCCAAAACAACUUAGAAUUAAGAUAAGUUCCAGGUCUAAGAGCAAGCAUACAAACAGCAAGUAAAAACCAAUUAGACUAGCAUACCUGAACAUUUGAAGGGACUACAAAAAAGUAGAAGACAUAGUGCAGAAACAGCUGAAGAAAGCACUCUACUAGUUGAACCAAGAAGCUGUUGGAGAAAAAUUAUUGUCUCAGCUAAUACCUCUUCGCAGUCAAAUUUACGGUUGUUCCUUCCUCCAGAUGUCACUUCUACAUAUUCCAGAAAAGACUGCAAGGAUUUUAAGCUUGAUCUUUCUGAAUAUUUGGAAUUUACAUCAUUAAGCUUCCAAGAAAGCUUCCCAAGAAUGACAGCAGCAACAAGCCAACGUAAAAGUUUUGAGAUCAAAGACUCGUCAGAUGGUGUUUCCUCUGAGAUGAUCACUGGACUGACUUUAUGGCGAAAUAUUCUCAGUGAAUCAGACUUCAAGGCAGUAGAAAGUGCCCACAUAAGGAAACCUGAAAGCUUUUCCUUUUUCUGUAAAACACAUUUAACAGAAAUUUUACUUGAAUAGAACAAGCAUAAUUGCAUAACAGCACGUAAAAAUUGAACUAAAAUUAGAAUCAUAGAUUGAUUUAUUCCCAAUAAGUUUACUUUUGGAUAUCCCCAUAGAAAACCAUUAUACAUGCACUACUGACCUCCUCUUCAACUAUAUUUUUGUUCUCUCUUCUUUUUUCCCCAGUGCUAUUACUAAAUCACAUAAAACCUACUUGUGUCUUAUAAUCCUCUUUCUAAGGUUUUAGCUACUUCAUGAGAAUGAGGAUGUCUAGACAGACAGACAGAUAGAUAGAUAGAGAGAGAGAGAGAGAGGGACCAUGUAAAAAAUGUCAACUGGAGGUGUGCUCAUAAGUAUAACUUGAAGCCCAAACUCUGCAUUUGGGCUAGAUCUUGAAGUAUCACAUGCACAUAGAACUUGAUGAAUUGUAAAUAAACUCUCCAUCGAAAGAAUAAAAUGAGGUUGAUAAAUUUUCCUUUUCUGUGAUAUCUUCAAUGUUAAUGUCAUUAUCUGUAGAAUUGAAUUAACCAAUGAAACAUUGUCCUUAAUCAACUUCAAGCCACCAACUAGGAGUUUGUACAGAUUAGAUGAAAGUUCCAUUAGCUGCUCUAGAGCAGUGUCUUGCAACCACUGGAUGACGUCUCUGGACAAAAUUAUAUCAGAUACAACCUAAAAGGAAUUAAAGAAAGAAGUUAGUAAGAUAAUGCAUUUAUUCUCAAUCAUAACUUGCACACAGAGCAUGUAAAAUACAUGUAAUUAUAUAGAAUAAUGGUUAAUGCAUACAAUUCUUCUCUAGCUAAUGCAAGUCGAGGGCUGUAUCUGCAAAACUCCCAUUCUAACAUUAAUUUUGUGAAACAGCAAUGGCUUAAUUAUGAGAAGGAACAAAAAUUAUAAAGGUUAUGGAACAGAAACUUCGCAGGACAAACAACAAGGUCCAAACAAGAAGAUAGGAAAACUAGUAACUACCUCAACGGCCACAACCAACUGCAGUGUAGAAAAACUGUUAUUUUCAUCCAACAGCCCAUUGGAAAACGAGAUUAUAGUUGAUAACCAUGGAAACAGGCCACAGUAUUCAACCAGAUGACGAGUCAUUCUAUGCAAUUUGACUGACUUCUUCACUACCUGCAAAACAAAUGAGGACGCUGUAAUAUCAAUUUUUCUUCAUCCUCACAACAAAACAGAUGCAAACCAAGCAAAGUACUAAAUCUCAACAGGUUUAAAGCUAUUCAGUCUUCAGAGAGCAUCAACUGCAUUAAACAUUUGUUAUUCCAUUCAAUCCAAGGUUUUACUCAAUGCAUAUAGCAUUGAGUUUCACAUUGUAACAACAAUUAGGACCUUAUUGUUGUUAAAAUAAACCUGUUUUUGUCAUUAAUAGUGUUAAAUUUGGUCCAGACUUAACUCAUCCAAAAGUCAGCUCAAGGGGAAAGAGUGCCUAUGGCCCAUAUAAGAGACAUGUUACCUUUCCACAACCGAUGUGGAAUUCAACACAAACCUCACGCCCAGAAUUUUACUGGUGCGUGACAUAUUUAUAGGAAGCCUAACAUCGGAUGGGAGGCUCUGAUACUAUGUUAAAUUUGGGCCAGACCUAACUCAUCCAAAAGCUAGCUCAAGGAGGAGGAGUGCCUAUGGCCCACAUAGGGGACACAUUACCCCUUUCCGCAACCGACGUGGGAUUCAACAAAUAGAAAUUGCAAAUGGCCAAAAAAGUUUGAUACAGGAAUACGUCAAGGCUUUAGACAGAAUUAUACUCUUAUGCCUGUAAGGAAAAAGGCGAUAAUUCAGUUUAAAGAAUAACUUCAUAACCAGUCAAAAUGAUAAAUCCAUAGUUGACAAACAAAGAAUCUCCAGAUAAGAUAUUAAAAUUUGUGGAAUUCAUUAAUACUUCAAAUACCAGAAUUACUCACCUGCUAGUACAUUACAGUAUCUUUAAUGUAAUUCCCAAUGCUUGCUUAUUAAGCAUGUUAGUCAACAUUUUUAGGAAAUGACUUGAGUAUGCAACUAAACAACAAAUAAAUGUGACAGAAUUUUAAUCAGGAGGCAUACAAGUUACCUGUAGUAUCAGUUCCUUUGACUCAUUAUCUGCAAGAGGAGUAGCAUAGAAACUCAGUAGGGUCUCAAGCACAGAAUUCUUGAUAAAUAUUUCAGCAUCAUCAUUUAAAUUCAGUCCAGAACAUGCCAGGCGGAGAAUCCACAGCCUCUCUGCUCUGAAGUUAACAGAGUUGCUCUGGAACAAAUUAUGAAAUAAUGGUACGCACUGCAAAAUCGAAUGGAGGAAAUAAAGAUCCAUCUAUAAUGCACGUUGCAAAACAAAGAAAAAUACAAAAGAAGGGGGAGGAAUUUCAUUUUUUUCCCUUAUAAAAAAUAUACCUUCAUGUUCACUUUGGGAGAAUGCAUCAAAUGCUUACUUAAGGUUGUAUAAUAAUCAUUUGAAGGAUCCAACAGUAUCAAAGAAGACUCUGCAGCAAAAAGUGCUACAAUGGAAGGAAUUUUCUGCCACGGCUCUUUGAUUCCAUUUUGCAUAUACGUCAGCAGAAGAUGAAGCCGCAUUAUAUCCUUUUUCUUUUGGCAUCCCUGUUUUAGACAAUUUCAGCAACAAAUUAAAUAAGAAUUCAAUGAAAAUCAAGUAUGGCUAUGAACAAGAUGAAUAUCUGGUACAAAUUGCCAAUACCAUAAAAAACAAUUAAUAAGUUCCUAGCUAAUGCAAUCAAUAUUCUGUUGUGCAUUAAACAGAGAAAUGUGGGAAAUAUACUUAUACUAUGAGCUGAUCACUACAACAACACCACAACUAAGCCUUAAUCCCAAAGGCCACCAAUGCGCACAGCAACACCUAGCCAGUGACAAGCCCGGAUCAGUAGAGGGUUGAGGCAGGUUGAUGGCCAGUGUAAAACUCAGCUAAUCACCAUACAUUUUUUAAAGUUUUUUUGUUACAAAGGAGAUAUCAAAAAUAAGUAACCCAUAAUCCUGAAUAGCAUCCCAGUAUCCCACACAACUUUAACUGAACUAUUAGAAGGGGGAAAAAAAUUCAACCAAUAAAAAAGCUUAGCUCAAAAAUGUACAGAUACAUGCAUGACAUCAUACGGCAAAGACAUUCUCCAACAGACAUAUAAAGCUCUGCCAUAUAAGCUCACAGAAGGACGUAGAGACUUUCUACGAACCAGAAACAGCAGGGAAAACCUUUACCUCUAAUGCAUUUUUAUACCUCCCAAGAAAUUCGUAACCCAACUUUCUCAUCCCAACAUCAGGUGAAGAAAUGCUUACAAAUGCAAUUGCAAGCAAGCCCAAACCAGCAAAUUCCAUAGGCUCAAUAUAACCCGUCAACAAAAUGUGGAUUGAGAACCGCAAGAGGAAAACAGGAUCAUAACGUUGUAUUCUGUCAGCAGUAGGAGAAUAUAUCUGCAUAAAGUAUAAGGGUGUAAAAUGCCUCAGAGCUACAACAAAAGUGCAAAUAAUUCAAAAGCAAAAUUCAGAUAACAGCCAGAGCAGUUCAGGUCAUACCACAUGCAUGGUCUUCAGAUUCUCUGGUUUAAACCUAUUUAAUGAUAAAAUUCCAUCACUUGCAAUUCUUUCGUAAGGAAAAUGAAGAACUGUUGCCGAACACAACUUGGGGUCAAUAGGGAGGAUUUCCCUAAAUUGACUUCUUCUAUGUUCUUCAAGUGCUUCUGUAUCAUUAAUAAUAUUAGAAGAUGGAACCCGGUCCAAAGCUCGUUCAUUUCUUACUUUCCAAGCAGAACUUCCCCACAGGUAAUCCAUUUCAGCGAGAUCUUCAGAUACUGACUUAUCGAUAUAUUCAAUCUCUUGCAUUAGAUGGUACAUCUCCAAGUCAAUUUCACUCAGAGUUGCACCAUAAGAAGACAAAAGCAAUAAAUGCAAUUCCUUGAGAUUUACUCCUAUUUCAUUUCCAGGAGAACCACCAGAUAAGUCAGGGUUCAACUGAAUGAGUGUCCUAAGUAACUUAACAAUUUCCAACUGUUUCAUAUGAGGCUUAGUUGUUUGCACAUCAUUCUCACUGUUUGGAUGGGUGAUGACAAGUGAUCGCAGAAUGCUGGGCACAGGCCUGAAAAGAGCACCAAUCUGACAACUGUGUAAUUCUGUGAGAGAGCGCAUGGUAGAUGCGAACUGAGAGUGGGCAAGAAGCAGCUGAAUAUACAGAGCAGAAGAAAAUUUUCCCUCUGACAGCAAUAAUAGGAUACUACGAAGAAUAUCCAAUGUUUUGGGAUCUUCAAACCUAUACAGAAGAGAUGAUCUCAUCAAUUGUUCAAGAAAAGGAAUGGCUUGCAGUUGGACAAGGUCAGCACGCAUCUCUGCGGUUAAUUCAAGAAUAGUUUUCAAAAUAAACAAUUCCAGGUAUCUGUACAACUGUAAAGAACAGGAACCCUUUUCUUUUCUGGAACCACUUGAGACUGAAGGGAAUUUCUUAACCACGUAUUGCCAAGUACUUACCAAAAUCUUUAUAAACCGCAUCCUUGAUUGACUCUCUUUAUUGGACACCAUGUACAAUGAGAUCGGAUUUGAGCUCCCAUCUGCCUUUUCUUUUGGAGAUUGUACAUGAUUCACCAUAGGAAAUAACAUCAUCCGACAUAAUGAAAUUUUUGCAACAACCCUAUUGAUAAGGUUUAGUGACCGGCUAAGCGAGUAAAAUUCCAUUUCAUUAACAUCACAGUCUAGCAGCUGAUCAUGGGCAUCAGAACAAGUGAAAAUGGAACUAAACAUCUUCAAUCGCUCCUUCACUUUCAUGUCUCCACUGAAGGAAAAGUGCCAUUGUAACAUCUGCAUUGCCUUUCCAAGAAGGCUAGCAUACACCAAAUUGAGAAGUUCUUCAAUAGAUGAUGGGAGGAACUCAUCAUAAUUUUCCUGAAAUACAUAUCCAGAUACAAAGCUCUUCCAGUUCUGAAAGCCGCUUAAUAGUACUUUCGAAUAAAAUGAAGGUAUGGCAGUAAACUGCUUGUAGUACUGCUUUUCAAAUUUCAUGGAAACUGAAAUCAAGUAUGAACAUGCAGAAGGCAACAAUAACAAAAAGUCCUCAUCUGAAAGUGAUGCUUCACAGGUCUCUUCCACCAUGUUGUCCUUAAGAUGGAGUUUUUCAUUCAAAAUUCCUAAGAGUGAAUACCCAAAGACUGACAGAUGCAGGGGGCUCACGUCAACAAGAAGAAACAACAACUUAGCUUUUGUCUUGCUUGUGCCAUAAAUGCAGUGAGAAAGGAUUUCUACAGGAGUGCUCAUGAUAACCCUUGAUAACGUCAAGCUUAGGGCAUUGAGUAAAUCACACUGCAAGUACUUUUGCUUGUGGAUGACACCGACAGCUUCCAACAAACAACCAUAUGCAAAAUCCACUUUAAAAUUGGUGGCAAACUUGCAUAUUUUAGAAUAGAUUUUCUCAAUAAGGUUAAAAUCCAAAAACUCUUUUUCCAUUUCCCAAAAGGUACAAAACAGUGCUCUGGUAGUUACAGACCGCUGCAAAUAAAUAGAUAAAGUUCUGAAAGCAUCACCAGCAAGACAAAAUCCAAUUGAAAAGGCAAGUGUCCUGCAGGAUUUCUGAGUAGUCAAACCAUUCAAUUCAAAUCUAUCAAAUAUCCAAAGCACUAAAUCAAAAAGCUCAAAUGGGGAAAUAAACUGCACUAAAGAAUGCAAAGCAUAAAAUGGAUGGAGAAGGGGCAGAAAAUCCUCAGUCUGGAUGCACAUGUCAAACUUGUCCUUCAGUUCCAGAUAUAUCUUCUGUAUCAGGAUUUGGAAAGCCUUCACAAGCUGCUUGCUCACCCCAUCUUCAUCUUUGGGUAUACAAUAUUGCCCAGUCAAAGGAGAUAAUAAGUAGUCAAAAGUUGUCGUCAACAUAUCCAAGACAAGAUGAUCUAUUGGAUGGAUUCUGUGCUGAGAAAAACUAAGAAAUGCCUCUAAAUUGUCCCCGAAGUUUCCCUCUGCAAAAUUAUUGUCAGUCAAAUUCUCAUCACAUCUCAAAGGAUAUGUCAAGCAUGCUUUUACUGCAGGAUGACAAAAGAUGAUUUCAGCCACUUCUUGAAUCAUUUUGGUUGAAGGAGGAUCCUUUGAAUCAGGCUUCAAAACCAGUAAUUGAGCAAGCAUGUGCUUCAAAAGAGCAAAGCAUACCUCAGCAAAUUCUCCCAAUUUAGCCAAUGGUUUUAUUCUCCACGACAACUGUAUCUGAUAAAACCAAAACAGAAGAAGGUGCAAGUAGGAAACUACAAAAUCACUUGUGCACUCAGAUAGUUUAGCCAUAAGCACAUCAUUUAUCUUGGAAGUUUCCGAUAAACCAGGACUACCGCAGCUUAUAAUGGCAGGAAAUAGCACAUGAAAAGGUGCCUGCUUCAGAAAAAGACCAAAUGUAACAGCAGCUGCAGAUUCACUAUCAUCAAAGUCCACUUCAAGUAUUUCUUGUGGAGCAACAACAUCAUUUUUUAUGCCUUGAGGAUCAAUCAAAGAAACAGCCAUUUCUAGACCCGGAAAGAAAACUUGAGGCCAUAACUUCAAAACACCAGCAAGAAAAUUUUGCUCAAGAAAAAAUAUUGAGGAUAAGAAUGGCAGAGGAACCAGAAGAUGCUGAGAAACAGCCAUAACUGUAGGAAAGUUCUUCAGUAGACUCUCUGAUUCUGUACACAUAAUUGCAGAAAAAAAGGCUUUCAUUAUUCCAGCUCUUUCCCCACCAUGCCCACUUUCUAAAUUCUUUCUUAAUUCACCAAGUGCUCUCACAAAAGAACCAUCAACAGGCACAUCUUUUUCGUCAAUCAGAAAAAAACAGCAGGCCCUUUGAUGCAAUAUACUCUCUGCAAAGAGCAAUAAACUUUUCAAUGGCUGCCACUCCACAGAACAUCGACCCUGAAGUCCCUCAAACAAAACUGAUCUAAUCAAAGCAGCUAACAACCUUGCAUCUACCUGAAAAAAUUGAUGUCUCAUCCCAUCGUGUAAAAAGAAUUGCAAUUAUUAGUUAAAAAACACAAAUUUUACCUGAGUUUGCAAUAAAUAUUUCAACGUGUUGCACACAUAAACAGAUAUCAUCGACUUCUCCAGCAAUGAAAAGGUUCCAGAUUCAGAACUUAGUAACCUUGUACACUUCUGUAAGACACAUAUGACGAGAGGACUGAACUUGGGUGAAAUAUCUGUGCAAGGGAAAGAGGAGACAUUAGAACAAAUGUCCCAUCAUUUGUCAUAAUUUUUUUGUAAGGAGCUUGAGGCUGUCUCACGCAAUCUUAUAGAAAAAAAAAAAAAAAAAAAAAAAGAAAGAGAGAGAGAAGGAGGAAAGAAGUUACUUCUAGGCUCUAAAUAGUAAAUAGAAUUAAUAAAUCAAUAGAACAGUAAAGCAAACAGCAAAGUGGUAGUUCAUAAGGAUGAGCAGCGCCCUACCGUAAUUGAUUCAAUGGAGAAGAAAAGUUUAACCAUCCAAUAAAUCCUGUGGUUAGGCAGUGGCAGACUAUGACUUGAAGUAUGGUUUGAGAUAGGUUACGUACGAGGACAAGAAGAUGAAUAAGACUAUUCAAGGCUCCAUACAGGCAUGACUUGCCACUGCACCUAUUUUAUAAUGGUGCCAGACAAUCCUUCAAAUACAGCACUCCCUCCCAACAGAAAAGAAAAAAAAUACAACUGAACUAUGCUUUAAUUCCAAACUACUUGGGAUACCCUACAUGAAUCAUUUUCCUCUAUUGCAUUUGGUUUAGUGGAGUACACAUCCAAAAAGAUGUAGAUUGCACUUCCUCCUCCUUCCCCCCCCCCCCCAAAAAAAAAAAUGCCGAAAAAGGGCAAAAAAACAAGCAGCCACAAAAUUUAAUCCAAAGGGAGGAGGAAAUAACAGAGGAAGUUGAAGAAAAAGCAGUGGGAGAAGUGGGCAAGACCCAAUUAGAUAGGGACUGAGGCUGAAUGAGUAGAAACGCCAAAAAGAAUGGGAAGCAAAACUAUACUAUGGUUUUCCUAGAGAAUGGUGGAAUCAAGCCACAAAAACCAGACAUGAAAAUGUAAAGUAAAGAGAAAUUAAGCAUACCAAUUACCUUUAAAUUCAUUUGAAUGGUAAAUAUGGUUCCUAACUGCAUCCCAGUAUCUAAAUAAAUUAUUCCCAAUGGUAGAAAUGGCAUCACACAAGAAUGAGAUGGCAGCUGUUGACAAGUUCUGCAGUUCUGCUCCAAUGGUCUCAACAGAUGAUUUAACUACACUGUAACCCGGUAGAAAUAAGAUCCAUGCAACUAUUUCAUGUAAGUUUCUGUCAAAUGCACCUGUACUUGACAUGGCUGCUUGUGUCAAAUUGUAAGCUUGAGCCUUUAUGUCACCACGUGGUGAAAAGAUUAUCAAAUUAAGAAAUGGCUGCAGAUGCUUAUACAUCAGUGGUGGAGUUCUGAUGGCAAUUUCACUCCCUGGAUACCAUCUAACAUACUCAACUAGAAGAGGCAUCAGGGAGCACAAGAGAUUAGAUGGCAAUUCUGAAGGAUUGUUGAGAAGGUUCAUAAAAAAAUCAAAUGAACCAUCCAAAGCACUGGGCAUUAUCAGCUGUAAAAGAUAAAAUAAAUGCCACUGUAAGACUUAAUAACUAGGAGCAGUUUUCUAACUUCUUCAUAAUUUAUAAUGUCAAAAAUAAACUUAUCCAAAUCCAUGAUUUCCCUGUGAGAUAUACAGUAAUUAUAAUUUUCGUUAGUUGCACUAUGAUAACAGGAUUUUCAGCAAAAUGUCCAUAAAUCUGAAGAAUAAACAAGCAUAAAGUGCUGCAAUCCAAGAAUUGUUAAAAACAGAAUUAUAAAAUAGCUCAUAUAUAGCAGAAAAUAGAUAUAGGAAGCUCAAGGUGGGCGCCAAGGAUGUAACAUAUACUUCACAUUCUCCAGAUAAUCCUAAGCCAAAUACUAAGAAACUGGAGGUUUUGAUAAGGUAUCACUAACAUGACCGACUUGCAAAGCUAUUUAAUUGCAGUUUACAUGCCAUGCAGCUAUUUGGCAACAGAACCAGCUACUAGCAUCAGAAUUAAGCAUAAUACAUGAAAAUCAAAGGAAAAGAAUUCAUGACAACCAAGUGGAACAAACUUAUAAAGGCUGAACAAACAAAAGACAUUAAGGAAAAAAUAAUAAUCAAUAAUACCAAUUGAAAAAGCAAAGGCACUGAUUUAGCUAUCAGAAGCCUAACCCUUAUAUGCGGCUGACUUCAGCAAGACAAAAUGCAUAUCAAUGCCAAAACGUAUCCCGCACAUAAAGUUACAACACAAAUCAUUUACACCUUUAAGCAAGUUAUUAUUCAAGGAUAUGAACAAAAAUAUAUUCAUUUUGUAUUUAGAAGGCCUAAAAUCAGAGAGCAUUUCUCAAAUUUGACCAAACCCUUUCAUUUUGGCAACUUAGUCUGAUUUAAAAUUUUGAUUUCAACUUUACCUCCCACAGGCCAUGAAAUAUCUCAAAUUCAAUAAAAAACCAACACAAAUUUUAAUUGUAUUGAGCAAGAAUAAGAAGCAUAUGCUUUCACAUGUAUGGCAAGACCUCUAGUGUGAUCCUCACUCUUGUCUGUGUGUGUGUGUGGUUACAACUAUAUUGGCACAUUUUAUUGUCUAGAUAAUUUCAGAAAACCAUAGUAUUAAAGAAACACAACUCAGUUUAAACCAAACCACAUUCACCUAAUAAAAUCCUGAUUCACUUAAACAAAUAGCCUUGAUAGGUUGUGAAAUCAAACAUGAGAUUUAAAAUUUUGAAACUUACAAGAUAAAUUUUGAGAGCAUCAAGAAGCUUAGACUGGAAGAAUAUCUCUGCAUCUUUUAAUGUAGUGACAGGCACGGAGCAUAGGUCAGAACCCCACAAUUCCAAUAUGAGAUUAAUAAAAUCCAUUGCACCAUCUGAUGCAUGUGGUAUUUGUGAUUCCACAACAUUUCCAUCAUCUUCAGGCAAUACAAUGUCUGGAACUGAACUUAUCCCACCUAUAACAAUAUCUGCAUCCUCGUUUGUAACUUUUGUUUUCAAGUUCUUCCUUCUCUUGCUACAACGAAGAGAACUACCUUUAUCUGCUGUUCUUUUCAAGCAUGACUUAUCACACCUGGCAUGGCUACUUAAAGAAGAUAGUAGAGUGAGUAGAACUUGGGGAUCAGGAAGCAGAGUUUGAAUUUCACUCCAGAUUUUCUGCUUAAGAGAUGCCCACUUUUGUAUCAUUUGUUUCCUAGUACAAAACAGGUUUAUGGCCCUUAAGAAUGAAUCCAACAACUUCAGAGCCUCCAAAAGUAGUCUGAGAGUUCCAUUCUUCACAAGAAAAUCUAAGUGAAGUAACCCCUUAGUUAUUAGUGAUCGGCUCAAUGAACGAGAAGAUAUAAUAGUCAUGACAUUCUGCACAUCCACACUAUCACAACAAGGCAGAUCAUUAGAUUGAGAAUCAAUGAAACCAAAAGGAUCACCUACAGCCAUCGAGGAAACCAAGUUUGCUGCCAAAGAAACAGUAGAAAACCUGCAAGUGCUUCAGUUGCAGUAACAAUAAUAACAAUGAUGCUGAUGAUGAUUUAAAAAAAAAAAAAACACAUUUGAAUCAAAAGCUACUUUGUCUAUGCAUAAAUAUGCAAAAAUCUGACCAGCUAGGAGAUGUAUAAUCUUCAAGGUUGUAGGGGAACUCCUCCAUAUAGGCUGAGCCAAAGGACAGCCUGCCCCUGACAAUAGCUAAAAUCAAUUCUCUGUGAUAGUCAAUCUCUGUUGCCUUAAGCUUCUUCAUGAGCUCCAAAAGUCUCUUUGGAUUACCCCUUAAUGGUUUUGGGUGUCGCUUGAAAUCUGGCAUCAACCCAUUGCAAGGAUCAGUACAAACCAUAAGGAGCACAUCAUGUGCAAGCUCUGCAGAGGGUCCAUUUCGCCUUCCUGAAAUGCCAGCUAACUGUUCCAAAACAACACUCCCAAAGAGAACACUUCUAAGAGCUGGGGGAAUCAUUGACUGUUCAGUCAGAAUCUUAUCCCGCAACGUGGACAACACAAAAAAAACAGUCUCAUUGUCAUCAUUCUCAAGCCCACGAAGAACACCAGAGAACAUUUGUCUCUGCUGUAGGACCCACCUUAGUAAUCCUGGUUUGCCAGCCUCCAAAAAUGACAUUGCAAAUCCAACAAAAGCCUUUCUUGUGGAGUGCUUCCUUUUUUUGUCAUUCUGCCUGAGUUUAUACUCUGCAAGUUUGGAGAAUGCCUGGAGUUUGAAAUCAAACUUCUUUGCAACCUCAGAAGCCAAACCUGACCCACGCCUAACAAUUGAUGCCAUUAGCAAAAGAGCUGCAUUUUGUCGCUUUCCUUCUUUACUAUUUAGCUCCUUAUAAACAAUCUCCAACUUUUCUUCAAUAAAAGAUCGGGCAAACUUGUCAAGAACCACACUUAUAGCAAUUCUCCCUUUAUCAUUUGGCUUGUAUUUUCCAUCAGGAUGACUAAGAAUCACAGAUAUUAAUGAUAAUAUAUAAGACACUCCAGGUUUGCCCUCCCGAAGCUUCAAAACUCCCAUAAGUUCUGAGAAAUUUGAAGUUGACUGUACAUAUAGGCGGAGCAAUUCCCCACCAGAAUUUCCUUUGAGCAAUUUAAUGAACUCCUUUGAAGCAUCCGAGCAUAACUUAAUCUCAAAUGAAUUGAUCUUAUGUAAGAGUUCUCUAAGUUUAGCUUCAUGGCUCGCUUUAUUAACUACAUUUAUAGCUUUCCUCCCCUCCAUUUCACUAUCCUCCUCUUCCUUCAAAACUGCAAUUUGACAAAGCAAAUAUGUAAGUAAAUUCAUACUUAUGUUACUUUCCAGACAAAAUAUACAAUGCUACUUGGAGAAGCUAAGGCAGAAGAAAACCAAAAAAUUAGUAAGAGCUUCCAAUUCAAAAGGCCAAGUGCUAUAAAUAUAUCCUUUUUCUGGUUAAUGAAAGAAAAAACAAAGAUACCUAAAACGUUACUAAAGAUUAUACUUCUCUCAGCAUUCUAUCAAAUUAGAUCACAAACCACCACUUACCUUAUAAAUUUUCAACAGAAAAUAACAGUGGGAAUCAAAAAGAAGAGCAAAAGGCAAUCAAGCACAAAGUUAACGAACUUGAAAUUUAGCAUUCCUAAAAUUUCUUGGCUCCCAAUCCGGGGAAGUUGUUAGUAAUAGAGACGCGUAGUUAGAAUUACACACCUAGGUCAUCAUCGGAGGCUGAAGUCGGGUCCUCCAUUCAAGAGAACUGCUUUUGAGUCUCUUGUCUCUAGGGUUUAAAGAAGGGUUUAGACUUUAGACUAUACUGAUGAAGAUGCAAUUCCACGUCAGAAUUUGGGGUUUUUAUCUAAAAGAGACUAAAAGGAAAUACCAUUGAAGAGAGGGCAAAAUUUUCUUCUCCGCCGCCCAUAUAUAAUCGGCGGUAGCUACCGCUGGGGCAGGCUUUUAAUAAAAUAAUAAAUAAAUAACUCUUUGAUCUUUUAAUUUAACAUAAUUAACGUAUCCAUUUCUAUAUUUUUAAUAUUAAAUAUUUAAAUUUUUUUAUAAUUAAUUUAUUUAAAUAAAAAAAUUGUAUAUAUUUUUAUUAUUAAAAAUAUAAAAAUAUUUUUAUUAUCUAUUUAAAUUAAUAAAAAAUAUAUUAAUUUUUAAAUUUUAAUAUAAUUAAUAAAUCAGUCUUUAUAAAUUUAAAAUUAAAUAUUUAAAUUUUUUUUAAUAAAUCCAUUUGAAUUCUAUUAUUUACAUUCAUGUCUUGCAAUUAAAAUAUUUUUUAAAAAUAUAAAAAUAUUUUUAUUAUUUUCUUUUAAGUUAAAUAUAUUAAAAGUUAAAAUUUUAUUUCAUAUCUAUUAAAAUUUAAAUAUUUCUUAUCCUUUAUUUUUUAUUUAUAAAAACACUUAAAUCCCAUCAAUCUUUAUAUAAACUAUUAUAUUCAAACUAAUCUUUUAACACUUUUUAUCAUUUAAAUUUUAUUCAUUAAAAUAUUUCAUAACUUUUAAAAAUAUUUAUAAUUUUAAUUAUUUUUAAACAAUACUAAAUAAUUUUUAAAUAGUAUUAAUCUUUAAAAAAUUAUACUUUUAAAAAUUUAACUAUCCAAUAUUCAAUAACUUCAAACUAAUAAUUAUAAUAAAUAGAAAAUUGUAAUUUUUUUAUGAAAUAAAUAUAAAGAAUUUAAGGAUUUAAUUUUAAAAAUAUAAAAAUUAAUAUAUUAAUUAUGCUAAAAAUUAAAGAUUAAAAUAUAAUUUAUAUAAUAUAAAAUAUUUUUUCAUGAUAAAAAUAUUUUAUAUAUUUAAAAUAUUUAUUUUCUUUCUAACUUAAUUAAUAAAAUUUAAAGGAUUUAAGUGUUUGAUUUAAAAAAUAUAUAGAUCAAUCUGUUAAUUAUAUUAAAAUUUAAAAAUUAAAAUAUAAUUUGUUUUAAAAAAUAAAUUUAAUAUUAUUAUUAUAUUAAUUUAAUAAUAAAAAAUAUUAUAUCAUAUUAGAAUAAUAAAAUAUAUAAUAGAAUGAAUUUUCAUAAUAAAUUUUAUUAUAUGAAUAUAUUUUUAUUUUUUAAUUAUAAAAACUUUGAAAAAUAUUUGUUUAAGCAUGUUAAUUUCUUAGAUGAUUACCACUUCACUUCUUCAAGCUAAGCAUGUUUCGGAAAUAAGAAAAAAAUUAUAAAAACAACAUAAAAUACAAGAGUUUUGGACCCUCAUGUUUCUCAAAGUGUAAGCCUUACAUAAAAUUAAGGAAAAAAUAUUUUUAAAAAAUCACGUAAUUUUCAAUUUUUCAUUUCAAUUUUUUUAACUCAAAUUGUAUUAAAAUUAACACUCGUUAUAUAAAUUUGUAUAAAAAAAAUUUUAAAUUUUGCUAAUAGGGUGAAAAAAGGAUCAAAUUACGUCAUAUUUCUUUUUAUUUUUUAAAAUUAUUAAUAAAUUAUUGGUUUAAAUGAAAGUUGAGAGAAAAUAUCUUUGUUACUUUAUCGUUGGCUUCUUGCUUGGCUUCUCUGUCAACUUUUUUCCUUAUAAAAUUUUAAAAACUUAAAAUAUUUCAUAGAAAUUUUUCUCUCCUCAAACAAAAAGAUUUAAACACACCAAACUAAAGCUUCAAAAGGGGUUUCUAAGAUAUUUCCAUCAUGAAGCCACACCUUAAAAAGCUCAUACUGAAGCAACAACCUACAUUUAAACAAAUCAGAAGCCUUGAAAGUCGAGGAAAACUAGGAAUGAAGUAGUUGGCAAUGGCAAGCUCAGUUGGUGGAGAAACAGAAUCAUGUCUCUUAAGAUGCCAAAACCAAAUAAAUCAGCAGCUUGCUUAGAAUAAUCCAUGAAACUACUCAACAACAGACUGGUAGUCUUUAAUGCAUUUAAUAUAAUAAAUUUUUUAAUAUUAAAAUUAAUUUUCAUAAUAAUUUUAAAAAUUGAAUUUUUAUAUUUUUAUUUUUAUUAAAAACAAAUAUUAAAAAAAAAUCAAAUAUUUUCUUAAAAUUAGAAACUUUAAAUAAGGGGGAGUUAGAGUAUCAAUAAAAGAAACCGAGAAAGGACUUUGCUUGGAAGCAGGGAAAAGAGAAGUAAACAUGACUGAUAGGUGAUCCGGAAGGCAUGAUGAGCUCAGAUGGGCCCUAACGGUUUCCCUAGAAAUCCAAACGCGAGACACCCCAAUUUUAUGAGAGCUCCUUUGUGCUCAUUUGGACGACAGGUUUCUGUUAUUUUUUUUUUUAUCAACAGAUGCAUUCAUUCAUAAUCCACGUGAGAUUCUAAAGAAUUGAAAAGAGUGUUGAGCACUGCAAUUGAUCAAAUUCCUAAUAAAAUUAAAGACUCUUACAUGGGGUUGGUUUCAAGGAGUCCCCACCCACCCCUCUCUUGGAGCUCUUCCCUGCAUAAAGAAGAUUAAAGAAGAACAGUUAAAGAAAAGCCUUUGUUGAUCCCAUCAGAGCUUAUGCCAUGCUUAAAGCCCAAAACUUACAACGAAAGAAUGGUCUUUUUCGUGCAUGGAGGUGCUAAAGAUUUUCUCUGCUAUGGAGGUGCGAUGGCAAAGAAGAAAACUUCAACAAUCUCGCUAAUAUUUAUGGCAAAAGAUAGAAAUAAGAAAGAAAAAAUAGAAUCUUUUGAAAUACAAAGUUUUCAAUUUUAACCUUCAACGAACAAGCAGAGAAGAUAAAAAUAUUUUACAUUAAACUAACCGAAUUAAAAAAAUUAUAGAUGAAAUGACUUUGAAUUAAAACUCAGAAUAUAAACAUUAAAUUUUAAAAAUAUAAAAUCAAUUCAUUAAUUAUACUAAAAUCUAAAAAUUAAAGUAUAAUUUAUCUUUUAUAAACUAAAUUGUAAUUGCAUAUGCUAAUGAUUUAGCACGCAAAGUCUUAGGAACAUCCCACACUGAACAAAAUUAUUAUACAGCACUUCCAACUAUAAGUAUAUAUUUAAGGUUGAGUUGGCAAUAAUUAAUUAAGUAUAAGCUCAUGAUUUUAUAUUUUGGGCCAACAAAGCUUAUAAAAUUUCUUUUACAUAUUUGUCUUCAUCAUGCAUCCACAGUAGACCUUUGAUGUAUAUGUAUAAAAACCUUAAACUCCAAAACUAACACAUAAAGAAAAAUCUCCAAUGGAGCACCACCACCAAAAGACUACAUCUAGAGACAUUUUCUCCGACCAAGAUUCAGAUUUCCAAUUCGAAUUCGGAUGUUUCACACCAGAUUCUCCUUCAACUGAUCCAUUCAAGGCCUCACCAGCUGAUCAUCUUUUCUACAAUGGCCGUCUCUUGCCUCAUUCUUUUCCAGUACAAACACCCACAACGACUACGCUUCUCGUCGACUCAAUAUCUCGAGCAUCUAGCAGAAACAGCAGCGUAAGCAGCAAAGGUUCCCUCGUGUCAUCAAGGAGCAAUAGUGUUAAUAGCAGUAGAAGCAGUGUUAGCAGCAGCUCCAGAACAAGUUGGAGCAGUGACUAUUCUCAAAGGAGAUUACUUUAUCAUAGUACUAAGCUUGCAAGCAGAACGCCUAUGGCUAGUAAAGUUGUAAUGGCACAAUUUUAUGGCUCUUCUCAACGGUGGCAACAUAUCGUGUCUGUGCCGCCUGCCAUGAAACGUGAGGAUUCAAGGAGAAAAAAUGUUGGGGUGGCUGUGGUGAACCCAGGGUUGAUGAACAAGAAAGACAGUGAUCAUCAAAAAGAGAAAAAAGGUAAGUCAUUGGGGAUUUGCCGGAAAAUUUUCAGAUCAUUUUUAGUAGCCUGCAGAGAAUGUCAUGCCAUAGAGCCUUCAAGAGAAGAGGAUAUCUUGCAGGGAAAUGUGAAGCUACAAUAAUUUUAUAAGUGUUUUGUUCUUUUCCUUAUUUUCUUGGAUGAAUAUGCACAUGAUUUGGUUGGAAUUUUGGGUAAUUUUUUCUUGAUUAUUACCAGAAGUCUCCAAUUUUUGCUCCUCAAAAGAGUGCAUUAAUUUGAGAUCAGACAUAUUACAUACCAAAAGAGAGAAAAAAAACAUUGUUAAUGGUUUGUGGAAUGAUUUGUCAUGUAAAAGUAUUUAUUGCAAGUGCCCUUCGGCCUUUAUUUAUUUGUGGAUGUAGCUAAUACUCUUGUGAAUGAAUGCUGAAAAACAGAGCAUAAUCAUUGCAAUUUGCAAAAGUAUACAUAAUUGUUGGCAUUAUAGAGCAAGUAGUAUAUGCCACAGUUCAUUAUGGCAAUGAUGACUUAAAAGCUGUGGCCUUGUGGAUUAGCCAUCUUUCGUCCAAUCCUACUUCUUGGAAAAUAGAUGAUUUUGAAUCGAACAGGCCUAAAAAUUCUACAAACGCGUGCUCAGAGAGCAAACGAUACAAGAAAGCCUCCUAAAUGGUUUGACAACAGAACCGGGCCAAUGCAGUUUAAAACAAACUUUAAAAUCAAGUUGAAGAUGGAAAACACCCAACAGCUGCAAUUUGGCUUUUGACACUCUCACAGGAAUUAGCCAGAAAGCAUGCACAAAUAUUAUAGUCAUCAAUUUCAAAGAAAAUUUGAGAGGAAACCUUAUGUUAGGAUCAACUAGAACAAAUAAUAUGAAAGUCCAGUAAACUGAUAAAAAAAGGGAACACAAGUACUAGUAAAAGAACAUGAAAACAAACACAAGAAUCCCAGUAGCAAAAGUGAACAGAAGCAUUUUCCUACAUACAACUCCCUCUAAUACUGGCCUUGUGCAGAUUGAUUUCACUCCAAGAAAGUCUCCAUCACAUCUGGAUACAUCCCUGCCUCAGAAUUCCUGUACUCAACAGCUUGUUGCUGGUGAUGAUCAACCGAAGUUGAAGAAGAUGAUGGGGCCAUUCUUGCAGGCAAAGUAAAGCUCCUUUUGAAUUUGUUUUCUAUUUUUCUUGCACUAUCUGGAUGGCUGUCCAAGCUCAAGAACUCGUUGGGAUUUGUACUGCCUGCACUAUGCAUAUUUGAACCAUCUGGAUUGGAAGUCGUAUUCUUUCCUUCAAGGAUAAGAGGAUGGUGAUUUUGGUCUGCUUUGUUCCCUAAGCUCUCAGGGUUAAACAAAAGCUUGGCAUCAUCAGUUCGUCCAGUUAAAGCAUUAAAGAACGACAGCCCAUUAGGCCAUUUAAUGUCAUUUUCAUGCUCUCCCAUCAUUUCCUCCAUUCGGGUUUCUGCUGAAUGAGGAAGGAUGAACAUAUGGGGCUCAUCUUUGGAUUGUGGAAAUCGAAGUCUAGCUGCUGGGCUUUGGAAAUUCGGUGAAGAAACCAUAGAAGCUGCAGCUUGGAGUGGCCUUUGACCCCAGUUUAAGAGAGGCGGAGGCGGGCGAGUUGGAAUGGGAGAUUGCUUAGAGGGAAUUGAGGAUGAAGACGAAGUAUUUCGGGUUGAAGAAAACAGCUGGGAAAGGUAGAAGCCAGAUUGGUAACCUAAUGAUUCAAAGGUAUGCCUCAUUUUUAGCACAAAAUGGAGGUCUUCAGGUAUCUGAAAAUAAUCAAUGCCUUGUGAGAUUCUACUUGACUAAGCAACUAACUAACUAGCGGCUCUUGAGCAUAUAGAACUAGAAAUAUUGUAAACUCACUAUCUUGCAGGAACCCAGUUGUAGAAGUCCAUGGCCAGCUUGAAUGACAGCAAUAGUCUGCAGAUAUAAAUUGCACGGAUGAAAAUUUAAGUACUAGAAAGGAGUUUUAAAAAAAAAACAUAAGAGUAACAACAGUGGGAUUGGCCAUAUGGGCACAGACCUGAAUGCCAGACUCAAACUGAUCAGUCCAUUCUGGAGGAAGCUGCAAUUAAUAGCAUCAAAUUUGGGAAAGUUACUAUCAAAUCAUAAAUAUGGUUCCAUCCAUCCAGCAACCAUAUUCAAUAAUGAGCACAAUAAAUACCCACAUCAUUAAAAGAAAAUAUAUAUAUAAAAAAAAAUAUACUAAUUAGGGAAAGAAAAUUAGAUGUGAAAGCUAAGUUGCAUACAGCAUCAAAAGAGCUCUGCCAGUAGUUGGAGAUAUUUGGUUCACAUUCAGAAGGUUCUUUGAAUACCCAUUUAUGGCACUUAUCUGAAGCAACCUUUCCCAUUAACCUGCACCAAGAAAAUAAAAUCACAACUGAUGGAAAAGGUAAGGCUUCAAAUAUUAACAUUUUUUCCCACUUUAACCACUCUGCUAAAAAGCUUCCACUGAGUGAGAAAGAGAGAGAGAGAGAGAGAGAGAGAGAGAGAGAAAGAGAGAGAACUGAAACCAAAAUAAUAACACCUACCCAGUACCCACCCUUCUCCAUAAUUAUAUAACUGGAUAGACAUUUUGCUGAAAGCUUUCCUGACAGGAUCUUCUCCAUCAAUCUCCUCCAGACAGUCUCCUACUCUUCCUCGGCAAAACCCAUCCUCCCACAUCAACAUCCUUCACAAAAAUUCACAAGUCUGUAUUAAUUAUAUUUGUGCCUGUGCUCUGUGUGUAUCAGUUCAAGAAAUGCUUAUCAAACUUUAAAAAAAAAGGUGAAAAUUAUUGGAAAAAUAGAAGCAUCCAAAUCACUAGUUACCAAAAAAAAUUGUAAUUACUGUUAACAUAUAUAUGUCCUUGAAAACAUUUUUAAUAAUUAAAUGGCCACUGUUUACUUUUCCAAAGGCUUUACUCUAUUACAAGAGGGAGGCAAAAGCUAGCAACUUUUUGUGUUUGGAAACUGAGAAACCACCAGAGGAAGGAAAGCGAUAGAAAAGCUGUAACUAAGGGAAAAUCUGUUAUAUAGUCAAAAACCAAAAGAAUUGCAACUUGUAUCAGUAAAUUCCAGUUUCCUUCCCCAUUUUCCUCAGUUUUCUCAGUAACCAAACAGAGGAUAAUAAAGAGAAAAGUAGAUAAACAAACAAAUAAGCAUACUCACAAGCUCCCAUUAUCGUCUCCAACCUUGCAACCAUUACCACCUCUGACUCUUCUGCAAAACAAGAACAAAAAAUGCAAAUAUGAACUAAAAAUAAAAAAACCCAUGUAAGGAAAGAACUCAAAUAAGAGGCAAGAGGCAGAGAAGUAUAGAGAUAGAAAGUGAUAGUUUCUCAGAGAAAGUACGGGCGAGGACGGAUAGUCCAGAAGACUGAGUAAGUCCAGUCUGAGUUGAGACAGACGCUUCUGAGGGCCUCAUGAAGGGCCAUCAUCCCAACAGCUUCUUUGCUUCUAUCUGCUCCUCCUGAGCCCACCAUCUCUCCCUCUCUCUCACACACACACUCACUCACUCUCCAAAAGUCUCUCUCUGGGUCUCUCUAUAUGUAUAUAUAUUAUCUGUAUAUUCUUUUCUUAUAUAUAAAUUUUCAACCCUUAAAACUUCACUUCACAGUUCACACAGGGUUAGCCUUAGAAAACCCUUUUUGAAGUUCUUCCUUAUCUCUCUCUCUCAAGCCUUUGAAUCCCAAUUCACACUGCCACCGUUUCUUUCUUGCUAUUCUAAUUCACAAGUCUAAACUAAACCCAGUUGCCUCAUUAUCACCAUCCAAUAUAUUUAUAUAUAUAUUUAUAUGUUGCUUUCUGUAAUUAAUUUUUCUUUAUCAACCGCAAAGGUAAGGUGAAAUGGACCCUUUUCUUCAUCUCUCUCCCUCCACCCCCUCACUCUCUCUCUCUCCACUAUUCCUUUUGUUUGUCCAUAAGUGAUCUUGAUUCUUGAUCAAAGGGAGGAGGGUUAAAAAAAAAAAAAAGAAAGAAGGGGAUGAUUUUUUAUAAGUUUCAAAGUGUUUUAACCAUGGAAAAGGAGGUGGGGACAGGUAUUAUACAUCUCUCUCUUUUCUCUCCAUGAGAGCAAGAGUUGGGUAGAAAAAAAAAAGUAGCUUUAAUCUUUUUGCUAAGGGCAAAUUUGCUAUUUUGACAAAUUUUUUAAUAUAUACAUUUUAUUUGGCUUGUGGGGAAUUUUGAGUUUAGGUGGGUGUUUGCUUGCUUCUUUGCUUCUGGGUUAGGUUGAUUUUAUUUAUUUUUUUUUUUUUCUUGUUAUUGACUUGAUUUUGUAUGUAUUUAUUUUUGCCACUUGGUGGUGUUUGUAAACUUUGUUUGCAUCAAGAGCUCAAUAUAAGAGUUUCUCUAACAACUCCUCCUCUGUUUUUAGUGACUUUUAACUCUUUAGUUAUGCCCUUCAUCUUCAAGAAAAAUAAAAAGAUGUAUUUUUUAUUAUUACUAAAUGAUGUUAUUUGUCAACAACCAUAUGCUGCAUUUGUUUUGUUUGUUUUUAUAUAAAUGCUCUAUUUCUCAUUGGUUUAUAUCGUAUAAUAUUAUUUGUAAUAUAUUCUUAUUUGAAAUUAAAAAAAUUAUGAAAAUUUAUUUUAUUUUAUUUUUUUAUUAAAUUUUUUAAUUAAAAUUGAAAAAUUCAUUCAAUUUUAAAGAAAAUAAAAUCAUAUAUAUUGAAUGAAAAAAAUAUUCAAAACGUGUUCGUAUAAAAAAAAUAUUGAUGGUCCAAUAAAAAUAAUAUUUAAAAAAAAACUUGAUAUUUUUUAAAUUUCAAGACCACAAUCUAGCCCAAUAAUUUCGGCCAAUAUUUAAGAAACAACAAAUUAAUAACGGCUUUAAUAUUCUAUAGUUCCAUUAGAAAAUUAUUCAAGAUGAGAAACGUUAAGUUUAAAUUUUAAUUUGAAAUUGUCUAAAAAUUAAAAAAAAAUUUUAAAGCAAAAAAUUGAAAUUGAAUAUUUGAGAUUUUGGUGCUUUAAUUCUCAAUUAAAAUAUAUCUUAUAGAAGUAAAUUUUAUAUACUUAUUGUCAAUAAAGUCGCUAAUUAUGAUAAAAUUUAUCUAUUAAAAUAUAUUAAAUAAUUUUAUUAAUUUUUAAUACAGCACAACUAAAAAAAUUUAUAUUUUUUUUUAAUUUUUUACCAUUACAAUUGACCAAUAAAUAAUAAAUUAUUUUUUAAAUUAUUCAUAUAUAAAGUAUUUUCCACGAAACUAAUGGAGCCUCCACUUUUUAUUUUCAUCUACUUCUAAAACGAAUGGUAUAAAUGGAUAAAAACGUGUAUCUUUAGCCGUUUCUACUUUAGAGUCUUGAUUAUUUCUCAACUUGAAAAUAAUCAUAUUUUUUAAAUAAAGUAAUUCUUGUCUACAUCUAUGAUGAACUCAUAAUUUAAAAAAAAAAAAAAACAAUAUAUAUAUUUUGGAUCAAUAUAAACCAGUUCUAUUUAAGCUUUUUUUUUUCCUUCAAAUAACAUGAAUUUUUUAGAUUUUAUUCUUUAAUCCCAAUUAUUAAUGGAAAAUGGUUUAAAAAUAACUCAGAUAAUUCAUUUUAAAUUAAUUUAUUUUUCUCAAAAUGAAUUUAAAAAUACAACCUGACAUUAUGUCCAAAUAAUUAAUUACCUCAUAUAUAUAUAUAUUUUGACUAUGAUAACUAAAGUUUAAGUGAUAAAUUAAGAAAUAUUUCAAAGUAGCAGCCAAGUUAAUUUACAAGAUUUAAUAUAUUAAUGAAAUUUUGAGAACAUAACAAGCAAAAGAUUUGUACAAAAUUGCUGUUUAUAUUGAUAACGUAUAAAAAGUAAGAAUAGCGUUUGUUAAUAUCAUGAUAUGAUAUGUGUACGUAGGAUUCAUAAGGUUUGUAUAAACUUUUUUAUAUGGUGUGAUCUGAUAGUAAAAAAACCGAUUUAUAAAAUAUAAAUAUUAAAUAUAUAAUAUCUCUAACUUUAUUAAAAUCCUAUUAAAAUCCAAAAGGGAUAUAUAGACUUACUUAAAAUUUGUAUCAUAAACGGGAAUUAUAUAUAGAGACUAUCAACUUUAGUGAUCGAGUAAAUGCCACUUCGAUACAGAUUUGAUAAAUCGAGCACAAACCAAUAAGAUUGGAGUAGGAUACCGACCUUGGUAUAUCACUUGAAUAAAUAAAUAUAGAUGCAGUAAUAUACCAAUAUGAUGUACAUAAUGGACAGGACAUGAAUUAAUUAGCUCUGUAUUUAUUAGUCGAUUGACGGUCGUUAAUUGAUCACUUGACACACCUAUCAAAAGAUAUUCCAUCUACCUUGAUGGAACGUAAGUCAAAAAAUAUCAAAACCUUCGGAGUAUAAAUAUUUAUGAACCAACAAUCUCAAAUAGUUUUAUGGUCUGGACUCUCCUCUCUCACAUUUAUAGUGAAAAUCUCUCUAUUAGGCUCUUUCUCUCUCCGUCUCUAUUCAUAUUUUCACGCAAUCUCUUACAUCUUUUAUUUCUUUUUACUACUCUAUUUUCAUUUUUCCUAAAUUAAUAUAUUUUUAAAAAAUAAAAAAUUUAAUUUGAAUGUAAAGUCUUCACUAAAAUAUCUUUAAUAGAUACCCGACUAUUUUAUCGUAUCUUAUAAAUUAUACUUUUUUAAAAUCUAGUAUUGAGAAAUUUAUAUAAAAUCUUAAAAACAUUCAUUCUCCUCAAAUCAAUCAUGAUGAAUGAUAAAUCUAUAGAAUCAAUCCACAUUUGAUAUUGUACAGGAUACUAUUCAUCAUAUAUACAUACAAAUAUUAAAAUUAAAAUGUUUUCAUAGUUAGACUCCACUCCACCAUCCUGUUAUCAAACUCAUGCUUAAUUUAUCACGUUCAAGGUUGGGUAUGUUAUAAUAUUUGUACUAUUGAUAAUUGAAAUCUUUAAUUAUCGAGAUUUAAUUAAUUAUUAUAAUUACAUGUAUAUAAUUUUACAUUUAGUUUAAUAAAAAAUCAAAGAAAAAAAAUAUUUAAUAAGUUAAUAUUUUUCAUAUUUUUUAACCAUUUAUUAUUUUUUACUGUUUGAAAGAAACGAAAGAUAUUAAAAUGAAAAAAAAAAACUCAAAAAAUAAAAGUUUUUGAAAGUUUUGAAACUGAAUUUUAAAAUAUAUCAAUUUCUCAAACAUAAAUUAAAAAUUAUUAAACUUUAAAAUAUAUACAAUUAUUUUAAAAAAUAUACUCAUUAAAUAUUGAUAAGUUAUCUAAUUAUAUAAUUGGUUGGAGUGACGGUGAUAUUAGAUAAGAUUACCGCUAAUAUUUCUUUUUCAUUUAUCACAAAAAUUGACUCAUUUGAUAAUGGAGAUUUAGCAGAAAGGAUUUUAAAAAAUGAUGAACAGUAACAAAAACCCUAAAAAAGAGAAGGGAAGGAAAAAGAAAGAAUGAGUGUUGGCAUUGAAGAGAAUCUUUUAGGGGUCAAAAGUGAUAUGAAGGAUUCUGAGGAUUAGAUUUGGAUUAUUAUUUUAAUCCAAAUUUCAUAGUCUUGUUAUGUCAGUAAGCAUUGCAAGGACCAGCUAUUUUUUCUAUAAAAGAAAUUAUUAUUAUUAUUAUAAAAAAUAUUUAAUUCAUGAUAAUAAUUUUUGUACGGUUCCCAUUCAAACCUAAGGACUUUCCUAUUGUGGCCACUUCCUACCCUUUUGUUUUCUUUCCUUUCGCCCUACCUUCAUUGGGAAAUGGGACCCCUUAUCAAAUACCACUAUUGUCCCUGCUAUCUUCACACUAUUUCUGUUCCAUUUUUAUAAAUUUUAUUUUCUAAAUAAAUUUCACAAAUUAAUUUAUAUUUCUUUUUGUUAUUUUAUUAAAAGAAAGCAUUACAUUUCAAUUUUUUAAUGUAAUUUAAAUUUAAAUAUUAUUUUAAAAAUUUCUUUUUGACUUGGCUAGCCAAAUCAACACCUUAGUGGUAUUAUUGUAUUUUUGCAUGAGAAGGCAGUUUAGAAUUGAAAAAUUAAAAAAUAAAGGGAGUGCUCGGAUAUUUUUUAAGUGAGUGCUCUAAUCAUUUUAGGAGAGAGAUUAAAAAAGAAAAAAGCAAAAUAUUAUCAUUUUGAUUAUUAAAUAAUUAAUCAGUAAACAGUUUUAAAACGCAUAAUUGAUAAAGGUUGAAGAGAAGAUUUGAGAUGUGUCACGUGUGCACGUGCCAUGGCAGCGAGUCGGUGCAUCGUUUGUCAUAAAGAAAAGAAAACUAAGAGCACGAAUUACGGGGCACUGCGUCCUCCACCUGCGACAUCUUUCUCUUUUUUCCCACUCUCUACCUUCCCACGCGCUGUCCUUUUACUUGUUUCUUAAACAUUUUAUAUUUUAAUAAAAUUACAAUUUAGUAUUUUGUUAUUUUAAUAAAGAUUUAAUUAAUUUUAAAUAAAUAAACAUUUCUGGGUAAAUUUUAUCAUCAAUAAAUCAUAAACAUCCAAUUGAAAUUAACAUAAAAACUGUACAAAUAUUAGUAAAAUAUAAUAAUUGUCAUAGUAUAAUUAACUUUAUAUUUAUAAAUCUUAUUUAUUAAAUAUUUUUAUAAUUUGUGAAAAAUGAAUUUAUAUUAAUGUAUAAUUUGGCAAUUCUCAAAUAGUAAUAUACUAUUUUAUUUUAUUUGAAAAAUUGAAAAUAGGUGGCGCGUAGAGAGAGGAAAAUAAGAAGAGGAGAAUGAGCAUCACACAAUUAAUAAGGUUUCUUUUCCGCAUUGACCGCCCCAGGCCUCGCUCCAACCCCACGACCGUAUCUUUUGUGGGUCCCACUUCCCCACUCUCCUUUUCUCAUAAUUAUUAACCUAACCCCUCCCUCACCUCACCCUCUAAAUCCCCUUGCUGUUCAACACCCCACUAUAUUUUAAUUUACUUGGGAUUAAGCAGGAUUAGUUAUUAUUAAUUAAUAUUCAUUUUCAUAAAAUUAAAAGUAUAUAUCAUAUUAUUUAAAUACAAAUAUAAUUUUUAUUUAUUAUACUAUUAUUAAAAUAAUUGCGAGGUAUUUUCUAACGCAAUUAUUUAAGAGUAUGUCAAAUGAAUUAAAAAUUAUUUUCAUACUUUAAUAAAAUAAUUGCAAAAUUUAAUGUAUGGAUAAAGUCAAAUUUAUACAUAUUAUAUUUUUAAUUUAAUUUAAUUUAUAUGAAUUAAACUAUAAACGUUAUGAUGAAACUUAAAUAAGUCAUAAUUGAAUUAAUAAUAAAAAAUUAUUAGAAUAUCCGUACUAGUAUAAAAUAAAAUAGGGAUAGGGGAUUGACCUAUUUGCGUAAAUAAUUAUAUGUUAAGAUUAAAAUGGUACUUUAAUCUUAGAAGGUGAAUUAAAAUGCAAUAAUUGCAUCUAUUUAGAGAUGGGCAUUUUUUAAGGAAAGGAGAAAAUUUUGUAUUUGAUGGGACAAUUGUGGUCAAAAUUCUCAUUAUGAAAAUUUGGUUAGAUUUUUGACAAUCCAAGACAUGCAACUUUGUAAGUUUGAGAAUGUGUACCUACCAUUUAUCAAUUGUCUAGAGUUUUAAUCUCCUGCAGUAGUAGGAGAUGAGAUUAUCAGGUGGCACAAAGAUGAUCCAUAGUAUUGUUAGGCAAUAGUCUUUCGUAGUUAGACCAAAUGAAAAGGAGAAGUCAACAUAUUAGCUAAGAUGAAAUUAUAGCCAGAUUUAGCAAGCUGGAAAAAAAUUUCAUCCCCUCUGGCUUUGGCUGUAGUCUUUGAAUCCAACAAUUAAUGCAAUAUCUCAUUUACCAUGAUUUGUUCAAUGCAUCCACUCUAUUACCCUUUUUUUUUCAAAACCUAACAAAAUUUCACUAACUUUGUUGACCAGAAUUUAGUUUUUUUAAACUUUAAUUCAUGCAUUUGGUUUUUCACUUUAGUCAGUUUGGGUUCACCUUUACAAAAGAAAAAAUCAAUUUUACUCAUUUAAUUAUCUUCGAAUUAGGACCUAAAAAAGGUGGAUUUAAAAAAAAAUAUAUAAUUUUUUUAUUGGAGCCUUACCCAAACAAAACCUAAUUAAGAAUAACUGAAAAAUAAAUAAAAUAAAAUAAAAAAGAAAGGUGAUCUCUUUUGCAUUUGCAUCUAAAACUGAUGAUCACGUGAGGUGGUGACAAACUGACAAUGCUUAUGGUUUUUGGACAGUGGCAGUUGAGACAUUUGCACGUGUUUACGCCAAAAGGUUCAGUUUUUAGGUUUAAGAAAAUACCCUCCUCCAGCAAUGGCAACAACAGCAUUCCAUGCAAAUCCUUUUUUUUUUUAUUUUUUCUUUUUUUUUUAAUUGAUAGAUUUACGUGUGUAAUGACAGAUUUAGCCUUCCCCAUCCAUGGAAUCAAAAUAACCAAUGAGGGCAGUCUUGACUUUUUAUUAUAAUAUUUGUAUCUCCAAUAAUAAUAGAAAAAUCAUAUACAAGUUCAGUGUCGUAGAAAUUAUUGAAAUUUUUGUUUUUAUUUGGAAUUGCAUGUCAUGGAAAUUAAUUUAGUGGAAGUUGGAUUUUGACAUCAUCACAAUUUCUUGGCACCUUCCAAAUUUCCAGUGUAUAUAGAUUAAUAUAUUUAUAUGUUUUUAAAAAAAUAAAAUAAAAACAAAAUUAAUUAUACAUAUCUCUUUAAGUCCAAAAAUUAACGGUUUGAUUAUAUUAAGAUAAACUUUGAUUUCUUAACCAUUAUAUCCAGUAAAAUAAUAUUUUAUUUAUUAUUUUAAAUAAACCUCUCAAAAUAUUUAUUAAUAUUUAAUAAAAUGUAAUUUAUUUAAAAUAGAUAUAAUUAAAAAAUUAAUAAAAUAUAUUUUUUAACAUAUAUUAAAAAGUAAAAUAAAUAAAAAAUAUGAAAUGGAAGAAAAAAAGAAAGAGAUGCUGGAGAAGAUAAAUACAAGUCCAUUUGCCAAUUGCCCAAUUAACUUGAGCCCAUAGGUAUUUUUCAAGCCCAUAAUAUAUUUACAUUUUAAUAGUAUAAAAAAGAUCAAGACAGAUAUAGAUAUGGUAAAAGUGAAGAAAUUGAAAUUUUAAUUGAUAUAUGCUAUAUUAAAAUUUGUUUAAUUUAAAAAAAAAGAAGUGGAUAGGGAAUAUAAUAAUUAGAAAAAAGGUAAAUAAUUAUGUUUGAUUGAUGUUUGAAUUGAGGAUAAAAGAGGCACUUUUUAAGAAGUGCAAUUUCCUUAAUAGUUGGGGAUAUAAUUAAGCAAUGAACCAAACCAAAAAGGCAUCUAAUUAUGCACCUGUGGGCUUUGAUCACCCUUAAUGUUGCUUGUCAAAUAAUAUUAUUUAUUAAAAAAUUAUAAAUUAAAUAAUAUAUUAUUAAAAAUAGAGACUCAAACUAUAAAUAUUUAAAAUGCUUUUUUUUUUUUUUUAUAUUGCCAAUCAUAGUUGGGAAGUACUUGCCGUAUUUGAUGGUCACUUCAUGUUGAUUUUUUUUUGAAUUUAAUUAGAAAAUUAAUUUAUUGUAAAUCGAAGUAUUUUUUAUUACAAAUAAAUGGUUUAGAACUGAAAAAUAAUUUUAUAAAUAUAAGGAGAGUUAUUAAUAAGUAUUUUAUUUCCAAGAAAAUAAAAAGCCAGCAAAUUAAAGUAGAAAAAUCAAAACGGUGCGUUUGAACGCUCGGGUUACCCGGACCCGAGACUAAAUGAUGGUUCGAAAAUGUAAUUAAGGAGAAUUAGGAGUUAAUCAGAAAAUAAACAGCCAAUAAAAACUUCCAUUAAACAAACAGAAGAGAUACAACGCACACUCUCUCUCUCGAUCCCUUGCAGCUAUCACAGCCUCUCUGCAACCAGGCCCAGAGAGAGGGACAUAAAGACAAAGAUAGAGAGAGAAAACUCACUCUCUUCUUCUAUUGGAGAGAUCCAAAGGAAAAGAUCUAUGAAAGUCCAUGCAUCUCUUUCUCCGCGAUAUUAACAGGUAAACAAAAUCCCAAAUCUCUCAAUCUUUGUUUAUCUAUACAUCGAACAGAAGCAAAGCUAAAAAAUAAAACCGAAUUUUGAAGCUACGCAUGUGUUGUUCUUUCGCUAUCAUUGAUGGAAUUGUUUUGUUGCAUUGGAAUUCUGUUGGUCUGUCUCUUUAGCAUAUCUCACUCUCUUUCACCUAACCGAACCAAAUCAUUCACAACUUAUAAGUUUCUUUGUCACCAUCUUCCAUUUGCUUAUGCUUUGAGUGUUAAAUAUCUCUGUUGCAUUGCUGAAACGCGUAUCUGUAUAUAUGAAUAUUUUCCCACUUUUUAGAUCUCAAUUGCGGUAGAUUUGAGUUUAUGUUGUGAUUUUCUUGAUGGGUUGUCGCAAAUCAUGUUGCAGAGUUGGUUUUUUGAGGAUAAAAUAUGAAUUGGUAGGGACCGUUUUUGUGUUACGUGGAUCUGGUGCGGCAAAUUGGAAGUGGAUUUUUGCUGAAUGAGGAGAUAAUUUGGGUUGAAUUGGCGUGUAAAGUGGGCGUAGAGGAACUUUAUUUUUUUUUUUUGGUUUGUUGUAGAAAUGGCUGAUGCAGCAGGGUUAAUGGAGGCAGCUGGGACUAGAUUUAGUUCCUUGGAGUUGAUUGGGAGGGGAUCAUUUGGUGAUGUCUACAAAGCGUAAGUCUACUUUGAUUAUUACCCUUUGUUUUUGCUAAUCCUUCAUAAUGUUGCUCAUUUUUGUUUUGUCAGUGAAGCUAACAGUGAUUUUAGUAUUCUCUCUACUUGUUUAAAGCAUAUCAUUUGAAUUUUGCAUUCUCCUGUUAUAAAUCAUAUGCUAGAAUAAUGUAAAUUGCUAAAUGAUUGUUCCUUUUUCUUUUUCUUUUUUGGUUGCAAAGGAUAUUGUUUAAGCUCUUCUGUUGUUGUAAAGUCCAUGGUAUAAAAAAAAUUGUUGUUCGAUGUUCUUUUUUUAAUUGUUUAAUGCACUUGCACUUCAAAUUGGCUUGCAAGGCUUGGACUAUGCUAACAAGGCAGCAACAAUAAUAUUACAUGGAAAAGAAGAAAAAAUGUUCUAUUUAUAUGAAAAUGAAGAGAUUUUUUCCCCAUUGAGAGAAAGUAACAUGUCUUUAUUCCAACUUUUUAAAAAAAAAAAAUUGAAAAUAGGAUAUAAACUGCUAAGUGCCACCCAUCUGGGAAACUACCUGGUUAUUGAGGAAUUAAUGUGAAGAAGGAUAUAGAGGUAUUGAAGAAGUUUAAUUUUGUUUGUGCAGUUGAAAGUUGCAUACUUUUCUAAAUAUUUUUUUUCCAGUAAAUGUUUAUUAUAUUCAUCUUCUUAAUUGGCAUGUGAUUAAUAUUAUGAUAUAUGUUUGUUUAAGAUGAUUAAGUUGAAUAUUGAUAAUUUUUUAGAACUCAAACUAGUGAUAUUGGCAUCAGAAACUACAAGAUAUUGCUGUGAUACACUGACACAGUACAUCUAUAAUUAAUUUGAAUAUUACAAGGCUGAAUAAGUCUUUAGUCAUUACUAUUUGUCAUUUCAAACUGUUCUUACUCCUGAAACAGUGUUGUCAUGACAAUCUGAGUACUGUUUUCCUUCUAAGGCUGAUGUGUCCUGAUACAUUUUAUGAUUUACAGAUUUGAUAAGGAGCUUAACAAAGAAGUUGCCAUCAAAGUCAUUGAUUUGGAAGAAUCGUAAGAUUGUAGCCUUGGUUAUUUUUUUGAUGUUUGUAUUCUUGCAUGAUCUAACUCUUCAUCCUCUCUCUAUCUCUGCAUCUGAUAAUUCAGUGGACUGAGAGAUAGAGAAACUGAAUGACCUACUAUAUGCACUUUUCUCUAUCAGCCUUACACAUUAAGUUCACAAGCAGAUUUUAGAAUUAGCUCCAUGUCUUUAGGCAGUAAAAAACAGAAACGCCAAUGACUAAGAGUUCUAGCUGCAAGUUGCAAGGUGUUAUUAAACUUAAUAAUGUGAUAUAAUGUCAAACUGUGUUACAUGCUAUUAUGACUAAGUUCAUAUAGAUGGUUGAUAUUAACCAUUGGCAACUUUUGCAAAGUACAGUGUUGCUUCUACUGUUCGUUGUUGCUUUCAUGUCUUGUAAGAUUUUUUAGGGUUCUGACUUCUACUUAGUCCUUGUCUUGAUCUUACUAUUUGAUAUUUCUAAAGAGCUUUUCAUUUUCUCUUCUGUAGUGAGGAUGAAAUUGAGGACAUUCAGAAGGUAUUUCUCUCAUAUGCUUGCCUGUUUAAUUUGUUAUAUGUGAAAUUGCUAAACGAUUAUGUUGCUGAAUGUAUCUAAUUGUUAUACCAGGAAAUUUCAGUUUUGUCACAAUGCCGUUGUCCAUAUAUUACAGAGUAUUAUGGUUCUUAUCUUAACCAGACUAAACUAUGGAUCAUCAUGGAAUACAUGGCUGGUGGCUCAGUUGCUGACCUAGUAGGUUACUUCAUUUUUCUUCUAGCUCAUAAAGUUUUCACUUUCUCUUAAGAUUCUUAACGUUUUGAGUGGUGACGAUGAAGUUGCAUUUUUGUUUUUGUUUUUAGUAGGCAUCAACUUAGGUCUAAUGCAGAGUUACGAUAUAUUUUUUGAUCAUAAAUUUGCAAUGGAAUGCUGAACAAUUUCCUAAAUAACAGUUUUUUUUCUUUUUCAAAAGCUAAUGCAUAUUUUGUUUUUGCAGCUCCAAUCAGGUCCUCCACUGGAUGAAAUGUCAAUUGCUUGUAUUUUACGAGACCUGCUGCAUGCAGUUGAGUAUUUGCACAAUGAAGGAAAAAUCCACAGAGAUAUCAAAGGUUUUUCCCUGCCCCCUCAUACUUGACACCCUUUAUCACGAAGAUUCUCGGAAAUGACUUUCAACAUAUUGGACUUGUGUAUUUGAUAUGUUUGCUCUUUUGAUUUUAGGUUUGAUCUCUAUGUUAUUUCCUUUAGUUUCCUUGCCUUGCUCUUAAUUUAUUGGUACAGAGGUAACUUUUAUAUUAUACAUUUUUGCAGCGGCAAACAUUUUGUUGAGUGAAAAUGGUGAUGUUAAGGUAUAUCUGUUUUCUCAAUGGCUUAUAAAAUUCGCCCGACUUAGUGCCUUAUUUGUAAAGAGCAAUGAAGAAGGAUAUGCAGUAAACAACAGGAGUUAUGUGCUUAAACUUUUAGUAUUCCAAGUUACUUUGUUGACCUUGUGACAGGUUGCAGAUUUUGGUGUCUCUGCACAAUUAACAAGAACAAUAUCUAGGAGAAAGGUAAUCAUCUUAUAUAGUGCAUGGUAUAUGAAAUCCUAUAUGGAAUAGGUAUGGAAUUGUAUAUGAGAAAGGAUAUGGAUAAUAUGAUAUUUGCCUAGGAUUCUAUCACUUUAUUAGGAUAACACCCGGAUUAUUUGGAUAGAUUGAGAUAUUAUAUUAACUGAAUCAAGACUAUGCUUCUUUGGUAUGAACCACUGAUGUGGUUCGGGUCACUGAGAUCCAGGACCUGAACCUACCAAGUCAAGUACUUAGAUUUUUAUGGAUUAGUAAAUAGCAGUACUAUUUGGUUGGAUUAACUGUUAGGCAUAUGGGUAUGAACUGAAACUGAAUUGACUGGACUGGUUAACCAUUUUUUGUAUGUCCCAGCCCCCCUGCAAUGGGGGUAGGGGGCGGAUCCAUACCUUGUUACCUACUUGUCAUUUGUGUGUUCUUUUGGCAAUGUGCUUGCAAGUUGCUACUGUGUCUAUGAAUUGCUUGUCAGUUAAAUUUUUUAAAUGUUAGUCUAAUAAUCUUACUGCAAGAUGGUCAUGCAGCACAAGUCUGCAAGCUUUGCUCAUUUAUUUUUGUGAACUUAAGUUUCAUAAACUGUUACAAGUACUAAGCAGUGAAUGUUGUGAAAUAUAAUUUAGAAGAUAAGAUGUUACAGUUUGUGCCCUCUCAGUCAUGCAUUCCUAUGAUAGAUCAUUUCGCAAUUGGGGUCCAUUUUUUUUUCUAAAAAAAUAAUUGAAGUUGAUAUUACUUAAAUGUGUGGAAUUCAUAAUCUUUCAACAUUUAUAAUUUUAUAUGGCUUUUAGGAACAUGAGUCAAAACUUCUUUAGCACUGUGCUAAUCUGGUUUAUAAAUUACAGACUUUUGUAGGAACUCCAUUCUGGAUGGCACCAGAGGUAAUUCAAAAUUCAGAGGGAUACAAUGAGAAGGUAUUUCUUUUAAAGGAUUAUUGAGCCUUUCUUUUUAGAAAGCUGGCUAGCCCAAUCAAAUGAUUCUCAGUCUUGUUGAUCGUGAAACUUGCAUACAAACAAUUUGCAUCAUGCAGGCAGAUAUUUGGUCUCUGGGUAUAACUGCAAUUGAGAUGGCAAAGGGGGAACCCCCACUCGCAGAUCUUCACCCUAUGAGGGUUCUUUUUAUCAUCCCUCGAGAAAAUCCCCCCCAGGUUUUUUAAGAUAUUCAACUGGUUAAACACUUAGUUUAGUUGGUUUAGAAUGAUGCAAUCUUUUGUCAGAUGGAGGUAUGAUUCUUCACUGUUUAAGAGAAUCAACAUUCUGUGUUUCUUGUACAGCUCGAUGAACACUUCUCUCGUCCUAUGAAAGAAUUUGUUUCAUUGUGUCUGAAGAAAGUUCCUGCUGAGGCAAGUAUUUACCUCUAUAGAAGUGUUUUAGUCUCUUCUUCUUUAGAAUAUUGUUGACUGUGUGGAUAAUAGAGUUUUGAUGGUUUUCAUUUGGAAUUGCAUACUUUUGUGCUAUAUGAUGUAGACUUGUUAUUUUAGGCUAGGAUAGGGAUACCCAUGUUCAUAUGACAUGACAAGACACACAUCACAUGAAUCAGAGUCCAAUCUUAGUGGAAUUUCAUGAUAUAUUUGGUCAAAGAGCCUUUUUUUUUAGGUUGGCAUCAUCAUGACACAGUUUCACUGACUUGGACAGAUUUGAGAUUGAUAUUCCUUUUGAAGAUUGUUGUCAUUGAGGAAUGACAAAUUAGAAGCACACCUUUGAAUUGUUGACCAUACAUGUGCUGACAGCCAAAGACCAGUGAUAUAAACAAACCUAUGAAGAAGCCCAAGUUGUUGGGCUGUUAGCUGAGAGGAGAAGGGAACCCAACCUUUGCUGUUUGACAGUUUCCUGUGCAAUCAAAUCCUUAUAGACAGAAUUUUAUUCAUCAAGAAGAUAAGACUGUACAAAUGAUUAAUUUAAAAGUGAUCUGAGCACACUGCCCUCCUAUCACCACUGUUAUUCUAAAUUCCAAAGUGGUGUUAUCUUCAAAGUAAAUGUUAAACUGUACAGCCAUGUCCAAUCUUUUGCAUUCAAUCUAUGUUAUAUCACAAAGUUUUGAGGACAAGACACAUUAGGAUGAAGUUAACUUCAUUACUGCUUUAUUUAAUUAAAUAAACAUUAGGAUGAAGUUAAGUUCAUUCAUGCCCCUCUACUAAGGGUUGAAAAUAAUGUUAAUUUAAUGAGAUAUGAAGGUGAUACAUUGUUUUUCUAGACUUUUUAAGUGGUAAGUAAUUAGUUUAAAUAACCUUUAUUGGUUGGAAAUAAUAUGAUACUUAUUGCUUCCUACCACUUUGUUUUAGUUUUUGUGAUAUUUAUCCAUUGCUUCUUACCUCUUUCUUUAUUAGUUUUUGUGAUAUUUAUCCUUGCAUCUUGAUUGUCUUAUGUGUAUUUACUGAUAUGGUUCGUCAAUUCAAUAUUCUAUUGUUAACUUAAAUGUUAUUGAAUACUCCCUUCUUUUUUUUUUUUCUUUAAUUUUAGUUUUAUCAAUUUAAUUUCAGAGGCCAAGUGCUAAGGAGCUUUUGAAGCACCGGUAUAUUAGAUCUAAUGCAAGGAAGAGCCAGAGGCUUCUGGAGAGAAUAAGGUGCAGUAUGUUGCUAUAGCCCAUUACAUAUUCUCAAUCUGGAAAGAUGAUUUCAAUUUUUCUUUCUUUUUUUUUUUUUUUUUUCCUUACUGAGACUUUAAAUUUGGGAUGCUGCACCAUCCAAUCUAAAAAUUUGAGCAUAGUUGUCAAAGGCAUGAAUUGUGCAAUGAGGACCUGGGUGCAAGGUGCAGGUGUAGGUCCACUUGCCUCGAGGAUAUGGAGUGCACAGUAAUUGAACAGUGUGUAGAAAUGUUAUAUUAUUUUCAGUUUAAGGAGUUAAAAUGAUUGAAUUUUCAAACCACCUUAAACUCUAUAAUGAGACACCAUGAACUACUAAGAGUAGUUCAUCUUAAGAUGAAAGCAAACUAAUUUGUGAAAAAUACAAAACACUUUAGCACAAGAUAACAAUUGCAAACUUCAAUUAUACUCAAGCUAUAUUGGCUCUGUAAAGAAGAUAACUAGUUAACUACUAAGAUUAGUUUCAAUAAUAGUCAUUUAAAAAAAUGUUCAUAUGCUAGAUUACUUCAACCAAGGGAGUCGUAUAAAAGGAAAAAUAAUGUGUCAAACCAAGCAUACUUCCAGCACAAACACUACAACCACGAUAGUGGAUCCCAAAUUAUACCAUCCAAGUUACACCUGAAAAAAAAACUAAUCAUUAUCUUCACUAUCAUUAGACAAAUCUUCACAGUAGCAGAUCCCAAAUUCUACUAGAAAAG
RNAcentral lists this long non-coding RNA (52848 nucleotides) under Manihot esculenta (cassava). RNAcentral's name for it is "long non-coding RNA (MESC_LNC008916)". The record is from RNAcentral. Lineage: Eukaryota; Viridiplantae; Streptophyta; Magnoliopsida; Malpighiales; Euphorbiaceae.